ACUUUUUUUUUCCUACGGAAAUAUAUAUAAUUAAUAGAGAUAUAAUUAAUAACAAAAUUAAAUUAGAAUAUCAUUGUGUUGGAAGCAAGUAAACAACUUCCCAGACCACGUGUAUAUCCCUUAAAGCAUUCAAUCUCUGAAUUAGUCAAGCCAACUUAUCGUUUGGUUCCAUGAUUCAACCUUCAAUCAAUUCAAUUUCUGUAUUUUAGUCUUCUACGAAAUUUCUAGGAAAUUUCCCUACCCACGAGCUGCGGUCUUCGUCAUCCACCAAUCUCAAAGUCCUCAGAUUGACAAAAGUCAGUAUAUUCAUUUUUUUUUCCCUAUAAAUUCAGGACAAGAGUGAAGGAAAUAAUCACACUGCCAAGUGAAGGAAAUAAUCACAAGCCAAACCUUUUCUUUUAACAAUCUUGAUUGAGUUUCAGGUUUUUGAGGAAAUUUUUUUACACAGGCUUGUAGUACUACUGCAGCAGCACCCUGCGAAAGGUAUCAACUAAGCAUUCGGUAAGAAUUUACUUCAGCAUUGUUUAAUUCCCCCUGUUUGUUUGUCUGUCUAUUGCGCUACUGCUGUAUAUCUGGAGAAUCAAAAAUGGUUUUCAAAUGUUUGUCCCUCAAAAUAGACAAUAAUAUAUUGCCAACGUUGUCAUCCUACUAUAGGUUACAAGGCAGAGUGGCAAUCAUUACUGGCGGAGCAAGCGGGAUCGGAGCAUCUGCGGCUCAGCUUUUCCACAAAAAUGGAGCCAAAGUUGUCAUAGCCGAUGUGCAAGAUAAUCUUGGCCAAGCCCUAGCCGAUAAGCUAGGCCACCAGGAUGUCUGCUACAUCCAUUGUGAUGUAUCAAAUGAAAGGGAAGUCAUCAAUCUUGUUGAUACCACCGUUGCUAAAUUCGGAAAGCUCGACAUCCUGGUCAAUAGCGGAUGCAAUCUUGAGUAUCGUGGCUUCGUGAGCAUUUUGGACACCCCAAAGUCCGAUCUAGAACGUUUACUGGCUGUGAACACAAUUGGUGGUUUCUUAGUAGCCAAGCAUGCUGCAAGAGUCAUGGUGCCACGCCGCAGAGGUUGCAUAUUGUAUACAACGGGUACAGGCACUACUGCUUGUACGGAAAUUGAAGGUUUGUGCAAUAUUCCAGCUAAUUAUUAUGGAGUGUCAAAAUUUGGGAUCUUGGGACUUGUCAAGAGCUUAGCGGCAGAGCUUGGACGGUAUGGAAUAAGAGUAGAUUGCGUAUCGCAUACUUAUGGCUUGGCAAUGGCUGAAGCGAUAGCAUCAAUAGCAAACGCUGCGCUUUACAAUAUGGCUAAAGUUGAUGAUACCAGUUAUGUGGGUAAGCAAAAUCUUCUUGUCAAUGGAGGAUUCAGAUGAGAGUUGUGAAUCCGACCCUUUAAGAGAGCUUUCAAUCGAUGAAAAAAGUUUCUGAGUUUUUUAGCUUCAUUUUUCUCAUAUGUCAAUUCAAAAUUAUGUGAGAAUUGAAUGAUAUAAUUUUGUAACUCAAUCUCUGUUUUUUUUUUUUUUUGGAUUUAAGUAGCAUUAUUAGUUUGGUAAGUUGGGUAAUUGCAUUUAUUAGAAAAGUUAGUGAGUGAAGCUCUUAAUUUCUAACACACGUUUUAAUUUAAAAAAUGAAAAAAAAAAACAAUGAAAUCCCACUUUUUAUAUUUGUUGCUCUUCCUGAAUGAAAAUUACAAAAAAAAAAAAAUGAUAGUAAAGAAGAACCAAAGAAUCUUCAUUUAAUAUCAUAAAAAAACUAAAAAAAAUUGUAAACAUAAUUUUUUCACAAUAAAGUUUUAAUUAUUAAAUAAUUUAUUGUUUCAUUAUCUGCUUAUUAGGAGUUUAAUUGAAGAUAUUAAAGUUUAUGAUUUUCCAGUGUAAAGAAAUUUUAUUUUGGUUAAAUGUUUGUCCUUUUAUAUAAUUUCUUAUAUUAGAACCAUCCUAUAAAACCACAAGGCGUGUGAAAAGCACUACUGAUAAAGAUUUUCAAUGCAUUAAAAAAAACUGUAGUGUUAGAAGGGUCAUGUACAGCCCUUCUUAAAAACCAUUAGUACCCCACUUGUUCCUUGACUAAAUGCGUUCCUAAAAUUAUUUACAAAAUACUGAGACACAAUGUAACAUGCUAAGCUGUAUUUUGAUAAAUUCUGUAUGCCAUUUUGAUUCCCUCCCUCCUUCAAACCUAUAUUAUGCCCUUGUUAUGUCGAAAUAUCAUUUCUUUUUUAAAAGAAAAGAAACAAAAUUGAAAUUCUAGAUGAAUUUUAAGUUUUAAUUCUAUCAACAAUAUGGAUAAUCAAUCAAGCUGCUGGUUUUGAAGAGAAUGGAAAAAAAAGACAGUGAACAGUUUGUGUGAUCUGGGCUUACUGUUGUUAUUGUUAAGAAAAAAGCAAAUAGUAAGCAAAUCAAUUUUAGGCAUACAAUAGCUAAUGGGCUUGUAGCCCACUGGUAGCCCAUAUUUUAAGUGUAUGAAUUUGAUUUUAACAUGUGUUGAGAUUCUAUUUCUUUCUCAAUUUUAAAAAUUAGUUAAACGUAGACCUCUUUCUCAUUAAUGUCAAUAGUGGAUUAGAUUCUUUUCAGAUUUUACAGGGGUGAAAAUUUAGGUUGUGAAUUAGAAAGAUCUGUGCAAAAUAUAAUUAUAUUUUAUUCACCUCGGCUGGUUUGAUUAAAUUGAAAUGAAUGUAAGCGGACUCCAUAAGGGAAUAGGAUCAUUUCUUGAUUUGAUCUCUACUGAGUUUUUUAAUAUUUUUUUUUAUGUGUCUUUUAGUGAUAGUAUAUGAGUAAAAUUUAAUUUUUUUUAUUUUUUUAAUUUAUUAACAAUCAAUUAGUAAUUGAAUUAUUUACUCAGGAUAUGAUUAGAUCAAGAGAGAAUCUUGAUCACUCCAUCAGAUGAUAUGACUUAUAGGGCAUUUGACUUUUAUUUUUAAAUUCCUAUUCGAAUUUCUAAUUCAUUUCUCUUAACGCUAUAAAUCCAUGCAAGAAUGAAGGGAGAAGGCAGCCCUUUCCCCAGCUUUUACUUCACUCUCAAACUUUCACCUUUGGGUUUUUGAGGAAAAUAUGGACGGUGUACUCUCCGCGGCACCCCCUAGAAGGUAACUAAUUAGUAUUCCUUUACAGUUUAUGGUCUAAGACCUCAAAUAAUCCUGAGAGAAAUCAAUCCGGGUCUCUGGUUCUUAAGAAUGAUUUGGUCUUGUUAAUUGUCAUUCGAUUUCAGGUUAGAAGGCAAGGUGGCAAUAAUCACCGGUGGGGCAAGUGGAAUUGGAGCAACGACGGUUCAACUUUUCCACGAAAAUGGAGCCAAAGUUGUUAUAGCAGAUGUCCAAGAUAGCCUCGGCCAAGCCCUUGCUUAUAAGCUAGGCGACAGUGUUUGUUACAUCCAUUGCGAUGUAUCAAAGGAAGAUGAGAUCACCAAUCUUGUUGACGCAACAGUGGCUAAAUACGGAAAGCUCGAUAUCAUGUACAACAAUGCAGGCAUCGUUGGCCGUGCUUUUGGGAGCAUUUUGGACACUCCAAAGUCUGAUCUAGAGCGCAUACUGGCCGUUAACACAACUGGUGCUUUCUUAGGAGCCAAACAUGCUGCGAGAGUCAUGGUGCCGCAGCACAAAGGUUGCAUUCUGUUUACAGCUAGUUCUUGUACAGAAACUGCAGGGCUUGGCUCCCCUGCUUAUGCAGUGUCCAAAUAUGGGAUUGUAGGACUAGUAAAGUGCUUGGCGGCAGAGCUUGGACAGCAUGGAAUUAGAGUAAACUGUAUCUCACCACAUGCCGUGGUGACUCGAAUCUCAGAUCUCUUUGACCGAGUGGAUCCAACAGUGAUGGAGGCACAAUUGAGGGAGAUGGGCAAUUUAAAAGGGCAGGUUCUGAAAACUGAGGGCAUUGCGAACGCUGCUAUCUACCUGGCUAGUGAUGAAGCAAAUUAUGUGAAUGGGAUUAACCUUGUGGUGGAUGGAGGAUAUAGUGUUGUCAAUCCUACCAUUCUGAAUAUGUUGAAUGAUGCCAAUAAGUAAUUGUGGUCUAAACCUUGCAGCCGGUUAAGUUGGCUUUGCUCUGUAAUUUUAUCAAUUUGACCCAGGAAGGAUUAAUAAAGUUGCUCAACUUUGAAUUUUUUUUUUUUUAAAAAGGACGGAAAGUAAUUGAUGAGUUGCAUGGCGAUGGAAUUGAAGAUGCAAUACUCACCAUAUUUAAUAAACACAUUAUUAGGUCUAAUUUUUUUGAAUUAUUCAGAAAGGAUACAAGUCAAGUGAAGCGUACUAUUGAUGAAUUUAUUAAGCACAGCAAGAAACGAAGCUUCAUCGUCAAGGUGUUCCAACUACUGGAUUAAAGUUAGGUGCCCCCAUAAUUGUAGGAUUCACGACACUGAACCCACAAUCAAGUACAAGGUUUCCACCACUCACAGGGAAGUCGCUUUUAUUGGAAGAAUUUAUGCCUUUCGGUUUGAACAGAGACUUUUAAUUUAGAUUAUAGUACGAACUUAAAAGUGCUUUCUACAAUUGGGACUUUCUCCAAAAAAACUCGUGGUAAAAAAAAAAUAAUAAUAAUAAAGAAAGAGCAGAUUUUGCAACACCAUCGGCUUUCAGAACUUGUCCUUUUAAAUUACCCGUGGCACUCCAUUCAUUAAACUAAACAUUAUUCAUCUCUGUCACCAACGAAAAGGGGGCCACGCAAUUUACUCUUACACCUUGCUGUCCGAGCUCAACUGCCAACCGUUUAACCAUUGGUACAAUAUUAUACCAUUGCCAUGCCCCAUAAUAAUAGGCAGUUGCCAUGCAUUUAAAUAUCAUCCAUUAAAAAAUUAAGAAUACUGGUGGUAAGUUAGGUGUUUUUACUAACCUUUUAGAAGAUACAAUUGAUAAUUAUUGGAUGAAAAUAUAAAAUUAAUUAAAUUUUAAUUAUAUAUUGCUAUACAUGCACGUGUGGUAGAAGUUGAUUUUUUUUUUUUAUGUUAUAUAUAUCACGUUAUGGAGAAAUUUUAUAAUACAUUAAAUGUGUCAUUUUAGUUAUAACAAGCAAAUGAUGUUAUGACAUAUGUACAUUUAGUUUAAAAAACCACCAUGCAGGUGUUUCAUUUUUUGCUUCUUUACUCUCGGAUGUAAGAAGAAUAAAAAGACUGAAGAAUAAAAGACUUCAAUCUCAAAUUAAUUUACAGUUGAUAUGUGCUCAAACUUCAUUUUCAAAUUGAUCUGCAAUGAAUCUUUUAUUUAUUUAUUAUUAUUAUCUUGAACAAAUCUUUCUCAAAUUUCGGGUGUUAAAAUCGUGCCAUUUAUCAUUGCCUCAGUUUCUAUUUAAUGAAUUUCAAAUUAUUUGCACCAAGAAAUAUAAUUUAUGAAUAAAGGAAUAAAUUAAAUUGGCCAGAAUAAUAUUUUGUGCAUUUUUUAACAUUAUUUUGUGAAUUUAAUAGUGAACCAACUUGUAGAAUGAAUUAACUAGCAUCUAAGAUAAAAAAGAGGCUAGAAAAUGAUCAACAGGGAACAUGCACGUUACAGAUCAUUAAUGAAGAUUAUGAUUCAUCCAUAAUCUAAAUUUUGAAUAAACUCAAUUCGGUUAAUCUGCACAAUGUCUGUUCUAGAUCUUGUAAGUUUAAUAAAAGUAGAAAUUGCAUUUUUAUGUUUCUCCUCACGCAGCGAGUGUGAGAGAGAGAGCAACAAAAGAGAAGCAUUUUUUUUUUUAAAGAAGAAUGGAGAAAAUAUUUUUUUUAUUAUUAUGGGACUCACGCUAAUUAAUUAAUUUAAAAAUAUUUUAUGCCAGUUUUAAUCACAACAUUUAAUAAGUACCUCUAAUUUAGUAGUUAAAUGUCUCAAAUUAGGUUCAAUAUUGUUAUCUUCAAACCUGUCCCUUUACUUUUAUGUCGCCCAUUCUCGAUGGGCAGUGCUAUCAACACUCGCUUAUACGAGCGACUGUUGCAGUCGCUGCCUCAGCUGGCAACACAUGUCCCGUUGUUUAAAUAUCUGUGUCAAUUUAUCAAGUUAAGAAAACAGUCAUCAUUGUUCAUUUUAUUACAAUAUUUACCAUCUACUUGAAUGACCAAAGUUACCAUAAUACCCUUAUCCUCUCCACUCUUAGAUACCCAGACCAACAUUUGCCGAUAUUGUUUAAAUAUCUGGUAACAUUUGUUCUGUUUAACAGUUACUGUGAAAAUAUGUUUUAGGAAAUAAACAAAUAAAAUAUACUCACAGCUUAAGAGAUCCUUGAGCUUGCAUGAUUUCAAUAAUAGAAUGGGUUUGUUUUGACUUCACCAAGCAGCUUCUCUUCAUUCCAUUUUUCUGAAUAAAUUUUGGGCGAUUUUCUAAACAGCGCUAAAUUGCAUCCGAAAAGAAGGAAAAAAGAUUCAGUGCUUUGGUUCUUCAGAUUCUUGGCAAGAGGUAGAGAAUGGUAAUUUCGUUUCCAAAAGGGCGUGCAAUUUUAAAAUAGAAGUAAAAUGUGAUUCAUGUUUUCUUAAUUAAUUAAAAAAAACGAUUGAAACGAAAUGGAGAGGCUAGGCUUUUUUAAUAGAUGAAUUGAUCUCGUUGAAAGGGCAAUAACGAGCAAUGGAGAGGUUAGGUUUUUUAAUAAGAUGGAUUGAUCUCGCUAUGGAUUGUAUAACCACCUCCUCAUUUUAUGUUAUCAUAAAUAGCCUAGCCCCUUAGCAGUUCCAUUUAUGAUAACAUAAAAUGAGAAGGUGUUAUACAGCCAUAGCGAGAAUCAAUCCAUCUACUUUAUUACCAAUGUUCUUACUUUUUUCCCUUUUAUUAAUUUUUAAAUUUGUAUAUCUUUAUACAUAUUUUUAUCUUUUUANNNNNNNNNNNNNNNNNNNNNNNNNNNNNNNNNNNNNNNNNNNNNNNNNNNNNNNNNNNNNNNNNNNNNNNNNNNNNNNNNNNNNNNNNNNNNNNNNNNNCCAUGGACGUGCACAGCACUGACGCCCCAAGCGGGAGAUCAAUCCAUCUAUUAGAAAAGCCUAGCCUCUCCAUUGCUCGUUAUCACUUCUUAAUUAAUGUCGUUAUCACUCCCCAAUAAUUAAAGACAACGGAGGAUAAUAUAUUAAUAAUCAGUUGGAUUCGGUUUUGUCUAAAAAUUUAAUUAAAUUGACCUCGAUCGGUUCAAUAAUUUAUAAACUAAAUGCAAACUAAACUUAUGAAUUGAAAUUUGAUUUGGUUUAAUUUGUUUCAAUAAAUUUAAUAUUUUUUCAUUUAUAUCAACUAAAUUUUAUAGUCUUUUCGCCUAAAUUUAAUUCUUUUUUUUUAUCUAAUUCAAUUGUAAUCAUUAAUCAUUUAUGUUUACGUGAAGAUAUUAAUAUAAAACAAUAUCAUAACAAAAAAGUAUUAUAGUGAAUAUAUAAAUAAAUAAUUUUAUUUUUUUAAUUCAACAAUGAACCAAUUGAACUUUUCAAUUCAAAUUAAAAAAAAAAUCGAUCAAUUUAUAUUUUUUUUAAUCACUCAUUUUUUAUUAUCCAAACUGCACCUAUAUAAGUAUAUAUUUUGAUUUGAUUCGACUCAAUUUAAGUAAAACCGACCCGAACCCACAGCUACUCAUCCUCCUCAUUUUGGAUUAUUGUUUAAUGAAAGAGCUUGAAGUAUCAAAGACCAAAUGAGCAUUUUGUAAGCUAAAUUUGACUCAAACGAGCAUUAAUUGUUGGUUGUGCUAUUUAAAAAAUAAAUAAAUAAUUCAGCUUCAAUAUUGUGUGUCCAUUGUUUCUCGUACCACUAAUUAAAGAUAGGGUUCAACUAUUUUAUAAUACCUUUAAGGUAGGGCAGUCCAGAGUGAGAAUGAUUUGUGGGGUGGGUGAGAAUGAGAUAGCUUUUGUUAUGGAAUAUGGAGACGGGAGAGUGAUGGUCCACACGGGAAAGUGAAAUCGCAAACUUGAUCAGCAUCGCACAUUUGACAUCUUCAUACAGUGGAUUAAAAGAGAGUAGAGAGCGAAAUUGAGUGUUUAGUUUGCACAAUGUGAGAGUAGAGAGAGAAUACAUAAUUGUAAAUUUAAAAAAGAAAAUAAUAGAUAAUUUUACAUUUUUUAAUUUUUUAAUUUUUUAAUUUUUAAUAAUGAAUUUAUUUUUUCAAUAGGUGUGGAGAGAAAUUUAAUAGAUUCAACUAAACUCACCUUUGUAAAUCACAAUAAUGACAAAUUGACCCUUAUCACAUCCUGAAUUUGCAAAUCAUACAGGUAUGACAAUAAAGAAUAAGUGCAGCAAACAACAACAUCCAUUACUAAAAGCUUUAAUGAGAUGAUAAGGACUUAAAAUCUUCAUCAUUUAUGGGGAUUCACAACGCUGAAUCCUCCAUCCACCUCAAGGUUGAGGCCACUCCCAUAUCUUUAUUUGCACCUUGGCGUCCAAGCUCGGCCACCGCGCUUUGAACUAGUGUUAUAUAUCUUAAAUUUUAACGUAUUGUAAAUCUCAAUUUAUCUUAAUUUUUGUAGGGAAAAUAAAAAAAAAUUCAUUAAUUUAUUUUUAUUUUCCUUUAUUUUUUGAAUAAAAAUAAAUUAAAAUUUAUAAUAAUGUAAAAAUAAUUUGAAGAUAUUUAUUUGACAAAAGAAAUAAUCUGAAAUUUAUCCUCUUUAGAAACUGUACGAGUAGGACCCCGCUGUCCCUGCAAUUUCUGCGCAAGCACUAGCCGCUAGCUGAAAACGAUAUGCGACCUUUGUGUUGUGGCAUCAUGACCCUUGCAGCAUCUUUGGCUCCCACAGCCACGAUCAAGGAUGCUCGUUCUAUUGUACAUUAUAUCGAGCUUUCCAGUUCAGUGUCAACAAAUUGAUGAUUUCAUCUUCAUUUGUUGUUAAAUCACAAUCAAUGUAACAAACACCUUCCACUAGCUUGUCAGCAAGGGCUUGUCCAAGAUUAUCUUGGAUGCAAAUUAAUGGUAAAUUAAUUGUUAUUGAUUAAUUUGAUGGGCCCAACAUUUCAAAAAUUCCAAGCUAGCUAGCACGCAUGAAUGUGCAAUAAUCUAAAAUUCAAAACUUAUAGCUAUCACAAUUAAACAGUGUGAUUCGUUAUUUACGUUUUGCUUUCUCUACUGCAAAGGCACUGUUCUUCUACUCCUAAAAAUCUUGAAACUUUGCAAGGGGGAGUUUGGCAAAUAAAUUUAAAUGUGAAGAUUUGGGUUGUUCGUUGAAUUCUUUCUUGAGUUUUUUUUUUUUUAAUAAUCUCAAUAGUUUGGUCCAACUUGAAGGCUGCAGUUAAAUAAUAAUAAUGCGACGUCUUUGGUACUCUUGGUGCAUUCUUCUUUAUUCAUUAUAUUGUCAUAAUUAGUUAAAGGGUUCGAAUAUUUUAGAAUCGCUCCACGGCGGAACACUCCUUCAUAGGCACAUAAUCAAAGUUAUAACAUAUUUUAUUAUUAUUUAUCACUUUACUUGUUUAGCUACCAUUCAUGCUUUAUCUUAGAAUGACUCCAAUGUGGCCAUGGCUUUAGUUGAAGUAUACAAAAUGAGUAAAUAGAAAAGGAGUAAUACUCCAAGAUCACCCCAAGAAUUUUCCAAUCAAAAUAAAGCCUAAUAUAGAAAAUGCUACUGAUUAAUUAAAAUAAAAACAACAAUUAUUUGAAUUCCUUAAAUGCAAAGUUUGAUAACCAAAUGAAAAUUUGCCAAAUAAAUCACAAUCACAGUGCAAAGUCAACAUUUAUCUUGCAUUUUACUACUGACGACUGGGAUUACUUUCUGAAUUUUGUGAAUCAAACACAUCAUUGCAAUAAAUGAUAUGCCAAGGAAACUCCGACAUCCAUCACCAAUUGCUUUGAUCAGAUGAAAUGGACUAGCAAACUUCAUCAGGGAAGGAUUCGCAACGCUGAAUCCUCCAUCCACUACAAGGUUUAGCCCAGUCACGUCGCUCGCUUCAUCAGUAGCAAGGUACAGAGCAGCGUUUGCGAUGCCCUCAGCAUUCAGAACCUGCCCUCUUAAAUUACCCAUCUCGCUCAAGAAUGCUUCUAAUAUUGCUGGAUUAAUAGAAUUCCUACUCGAUAUUCCACUCACCAACCCAUAAGGCGACACGCAAUUUACUCUUAAGCCAUACUGUCGAAGCUCAGCUGCCAAGAUUUUGACCAGGGCUAUAAUCCCAUAUUUGGACACCGUAUAAGCAGGAGAACCGAUCCCUGCAAUUUCUGUACAAGCACUAGCUGUGAACAAUAUGCAACCUUUAUGCUGUGGGAUCAUGACUCUUGCAGCAUGUUUGGCCCCUAAGAAGCCACCAGUUGUGUUUACAGCAAGUACCCGAUCUAGAUCUGACUUCGGAGUGUCCAGAACGCUAGCAAAGCCACGGUCAACUAUCCCGGCAUUGUUGUACAUUAUAUCAAGCUUCCCGUAUUUAGCGACGGCAGUGUCAACAAGAUUGGUGAUUUCAUCUUCACUUGUUACAUCACAGUGGAUGUAACAAACAUCUUCCCCUAGCUUACACGCAAGGGCUUGCCCAAGAUUAUCUUGGACAUCGGCUAUAACGACUUUGGCUCCAUUUUCGUGGAAUAGUUUGGCGGCCGCCGCUCCUAUCCCACUUGCUCCUCCAGUGAUGAUUGCCACCUUGCCUUCUAGCCUGGACCAAAAUGGCAAAUUGUUAUUAAAAGUCAGUCCGGUAAAUGGGCCCCUCCCCCCUCUCCCCCAACAAAAAAGAGAAAAAGAAAAUUCUAAUUAAGGUAGCUCUUUUGAUCCACAGCAGUACUUUCCCUUCAUGUAGCCCUUUUUAAUUUUUAUACAACUCUUAUUGAACAAAGUAUUUUUGUCUAGCAUAGCGUGAUUGCGUCGAAGCACUUAUUAAAUAAAGUAUCGUAUACGUAAGUAAUGUUAUGCUAAUUGAAUUGUGAAUUUACCAUCAGACUCUAAUUUUGAUAUUUAGGUGAUGGUGAGAUCAGUUUUAUGAACCGAGCAACAUGGGAGUUGGGAGGACACUCACAUCGUGAAAUUAUGAGUUCAAUGGUACCGAAUUUACCAUCCAAGGACAACUUUCUCUUUUUCCACUGCCUGAAAAAACUCGCCGGCCUCAACACCAGGACUGUAUGCCGGCAGCCUUUUUUUUUAAAAAAAAAACAUUUUGCAACCUGAUGGGUAUUUUUGAAAGAACAAUUGUUUAUGGAGGAAAAUUUUGGUAUUGUACCUUAAAAAAAUUGAGUUUCAAAUAAUCAUGUUUAGAAAAGUUGCUUUAGGUUGCUUUUAUAAAUUAAUAUAAAAUCUGAUUCUUCGAAAAUCAAAUUAUUUAAGAACCAUUUUUAAAGUGAAUUUACCUAGUACUUUUUGAUUGCCAGAGUGUUAAAUCAAUGAUUAUUAGGCAAUUUAAAACAAUUCCAAGCAUGCACUAAACCUACUACAAAUUUUUUUUUGUACAUUUGUUAAAUAUUUGCUGGGGAGUAAUUUAUGAAUAAAAAAAAUAACAAGAAGUGCCGUUCGUUAUUUACCUUUUGCAACCUGAUGGGGAAGCACUAUUCAUCUUCUAGCUCCAGGAGAAUUUGAAAAACCAAACGUAAAGAUAUUGGCUUGUGGGUUAAAUUCUUUCUUCAGCCUUGAUGGAAUUUAGUUUUAUAAACUUAAUUAGCCAAUGUCAAUUUUUUUUUUGGAUUUGAUUCACGAAGUGAUCCUGGAUGAGCUCCAACCAAUGCCAAUUUAACACAAAAAAGGAAGUUAUUAUUUAUUAAAAACGUACUAUAAUCACUUCGAGCCUUUGGAACAUUAAUUAUAAGUUGUUGAAAUAAUCAUUCAGGUAGUUGGAUUCAAUUAAAAAAUUAAUUGACUACGUUUGUGCAUUGUUUUGAAUUAAUUUUUAUAUUUGUUUAAUAUUUUUUAAAAAACUGAUAUAUUAUAAUAAAAAUUUUAUUUUUCUACUCUCAUAUAAUACUAGAAAUAUAUUUGUUUUAUUCAAAUGAAUAGAAGAGAAAUUUUACUCGUAUCUAAUUUAAGAGGAGUGCUAGCGACAGUCGCUAGCAACACUCGCUGCGUCAGUCGCUGCCCCCUUCUUGCCACGUGUUGAUAUUUAUGCUUUUCAUACAUCUGCUUUGUUAUCUAAACAAAAAAAAAAGUGUCCUUCAAGUUUAAAAUUAUUACAAAUUUGCCAUACUCUUCUGUCCAGUAUGUUCUCUUCCGUCGAUUAGCUCCACUUCUCGAAUUGUCUCCCUACCGAAAACUUGUUACCUCAACCGCCUUCUCCCAGGCUGCAAAAAUAAAUUAUCAUUCUCCUCUCCCAUAAGCAACACAUAACAGUUAAGUAUUAAAACUUGAAUCUAUUAUCAGAUAACAAUCCUGAGAACAAUUUUCGAGUAGUAUCAUAUCGUGGCAAAAUCGCAACUCAGGAAAGUCGGUGCUGCGUUUCACAGAAAUGAGAAAUCUCCCCUUGAAGACCAUGAACACUGUAUAUGUAACCACUCGGUGCUAGUUCCAACAAUCUCCGAGUAGCUGAGGUUGCCAUAAAACAGACAAUCAUGACCAUGAAAAGCCAUUACUUUAACAAUGCAAAAUGUUUAGCACAACAAUUUCACCACAGUGCCACAUAUUUUGAAAAAAGAAAUAACUUUAUGAUCAUAAGUAAAUUUAAAUUCGAGAAAAGAAAUUCGAAGUUUUAGGUAAGUGGAAUUAUCGAGGCUGUAAAGAGGAGAAAUGGCAUGGCGGUAAAUUUGGAGAGAAUUUGAGGGCAAUUGUACACCGAAGGAAGCUGGCAGCGAGCGAGGGAAUUGAAGGUGAAGUGCAAGCGCUGUCGGAAGACGAGGAGAGCUUCGUGAUUGAAACACUGGAUUUGAAGAGCAAACAAUUAAAUCUGAGUCAGAACCUGACCCCAUGCCCUCGUGAAUUGUGCCGAUGAGCUCUUAACCCAUUGACGUGUUUGUUCAAAUACUUCAAUGAAGGUGAAGAUGAGUAAAUAUCUCCACCGACUUGAAAAUCUUCUUCAAUUUUUAUUUUUUUAGAAUUUUACCAACCUGAGGAGCUGUUCAUUUUCAUAAAGGUUAUGUACGUUAUAAGGAUAUAUGUUUGCUAUUAAAUGCAUGCGGUUCAUUAAUCAAAUUAUCAUGAGGGUAAAGGGCUCAUGCCGAAAGUUCAAAAUGGGCAGUAUCAGGUUAGUGGGUCCGUUCUUCCAUAUUCAAACAUCAUAAUUGAUUAUUACUACGUUAUAUCUUAAAACAAAUUAUAAUUAUCUUAUUCAACAUAAUAAUAGUGCAUUAUUAAAAUUUUGCGAAUAAUGUAGACUAAAUAAUAAUAAUUUAAACAUUAUAGGGAUGUACCGCAUUUUUGGAUAAUUUUGUGAACAAAUAAAUAAGUUUUUUUAGUCAAUAUACAUUAUCCAUCAAAUGAUGAUGAUGAUGAUUUAUGUCUUAAGAAGUAGAUAAAUUUGUCCAGUUUAUGAAUUAUGCUUCAAUCAUUCAAUUUAUCAAAUUUUUAAAAAUAAUAAUAAUAAAUGGGGUUCACUCUUUCUUUUUUAUUUUACUGCAAAUAUGACUGCACAUUAAAUAGGUUGGUGUUCAUUAAAUCCACCCUCAAUGCUUCACAAAGUCAUUAGUCCACCCAACGGUUAGAUUUUGUGUUAAACUUAACUAUUAACCACUUCAACAAUAUAAAAAUAUAAUAAUAUUGUUAUUAAUAAAGAGUAAUGCUACACAUCCUAAAUUUUUUAUCCCAAAAAAUUAUCUCAAAUGAUGUGUCAUUUAUCAAUUGGUUGGUGAGAUAAUACAAUUAAUUCACUUAGAUCUUAUAAAGAAUUAUUAACCACUCAAUUAAUGACAUAUCAUUUGAGAUAACUUUUUGGGAUAAAAAAUUUAGGAUGUGUAGCACUACUCAUAAAAAAUGACGAAAAUUUUAGCCCACAUAAUAUUGAUUAUUUUGAUACAAUGUUGAUUAAAAUCUUAUUACACAUAUAUAACAUAAAAAUAUAUAAUUAUAAUAUUUUUAAUUGUAUAUAUACAUAGUUAGUAACUGAAAUAUAUAUAUAUAUAUAUAUUAUUUUACCAUCUCAAUUCUUUAAUUACAAAGUAACUUAAAACAAGAGAAAUUAAUUAAUAUUAUUAUUAUUAUUUUUUUAUCAAUUGGGGCUCAAUUAAAGUUAAAGAACAACCGAGCGAGAAGUCGCAAUCCUGUAAGAGUCAUACAGAAGAAAAGGAUCUAACCCCCAGCGGAGGACUAGGGUAUACUAUAAGGCCAAGAGGCAAAGAACAAGUAAAGUUUACCAUAAAAUCAGCAGCAGAGUUCGUCUCUCUGUACACAUGAGAGUAUUACGGUGAGAUUUUUUUUUAUCAUUUUCCCCCCAAGUAUUACGGCGUUAAGAUCACAACUAGCAAUCAAACUCAACGUUUCGUUUUGGAAUAAAUUACUUUCUAAUGAGUCUAGGAAUGAAAAAAACUUGUUCAAUUUUGUUUCAUUCGAUAUCAAGGAUCAAAUAUGAAAUUAUUUGAACAGAGUUUUUUUUUUCCCCACUCAAAUGGGAAAAAACCUUGAUGAAAUUAACUAACUCGAUCAAGAAUCUGGGUACUGAAACAUUCCGAGGGAGGGAUUGACAAUAGUGAAACCUCCGUCAAUGAAAAGAUUGUGUCCACUCACAUACUUCGCCUCAUCACUCGCUAGAUAAAGAGCUGCAUAUGCAAUAUCUUCGGUCCUUAAAGUCACACCCUUAAGGUUAGCCGCUGAAUUCAUAAAACCUUCCAGAUCCUCAUCGGUAAUCCCAACAAAACUGGUAGCCAAAGGUGUUGCAAGAGCAUAAGGUGACAAGCAAUUCACCCUAAUCCCAAAUUGGCCUAGCUCAACAGCAGCAUUUUUGGUGAGUCCUAAAACAGCAUGUUUUGCACAACAGUAUGCAUGUGAGGCAGCAGCACCAACCCUUGAGCUAACGCUAGCAGUUGAAAGAAUGCUGCCACUGCGAGCCGGAAUCAUGACACGAGCAGCAUGCUUGAUGCCCAAGAAAACUCCGGUGACAUUUACACUCAGGACACGCUCGAAAUCGGCCUUUUCAUUGUCGAUUAUGCGGGUCUUGUUAGCGCCGCCUAUGCCGGCGUUGUUGAACAUUAUGUCCAGCUUGCCAUGAGUUGCAACGGUUUGGUCGAUUGCAUUUUUAAUGUGGGAUUCGUUUGUGACAUCGCAAUGGACAUAGGAUGAGUUUGAUGUGCCUAUGGAUUCAACAACUGAAUGGCCUAAUUGUUCCUGAAUAUCCGCAAUGACAACUUUGGCACCCUGUUGGGCAAAGACUUUUGCAGUGCAUGCACCAAUUCCACUAGCCCCUCCAGUAAUAAAGGCUACCUUGCCCUCUAGCCUACACAAUCCAGAUGCAAACCUUGAAAUGUUAUAUUUUUUUUCGAGGGUUUUACAAACUAACUUACUUAUAGAUCUUUGUGCAGGUAGAUUCCAAUCCAAUGAAUUAUCACUAAAAAAAAAAAAAAAAGCGAAUCAAUUCUAGGAGGAAAAAAAGGCGUUGAAAGUAGGAGAAUCUUUUUAAUAGUAAAGGGAUGUAAUUGAAUCUGAAAUAUGAGGGAGAAAAAACCAUAACAAUUUUGAAAUCUUGAAAGAUAUUUCUGUCUAUUUUCAAAUUGACUGGAAAAGAGCCUUUCUCUGUAAUUUCGAGUCAAACCAGUAGAUCUGAAAAUCUAAGCCAUUAAUUAUGUACAAUCCUGUAACAUUAAUGUUUUAAAGUGAAGUAUACACAAAAAUUGUUACUGUAAACUUAGGAUAGAAAAAGAGUGCAGAUAGCUCGAGUACUCGCUUUGAAUAGAAAGAUAUUGGUGAUGAAUAAAUCAUUUGUGUAUGUUUUCUGAAUUAGUACUAAAUAAGUGUCAUAAGCAUGAGAUGAGUAGCUGUUGGAUCAGUUGAUAAAAAUUAAAAAAAAAAAAAAACACUGAAGAUGAAAGCAAAAACCUGAUUUGGUUUGUUGUGACUUACCUUCUGGUGAUUGCAGAAAGAACCCCUGAGCUAGCCAUUUUGCAGAGAGGGUGAGAGAGAGAGAGGGGGAACUAAAUAGUUGAUUUCUCACCAGUGUAUUAUAUAGGGGUGGGCAAAAUCGGGUUCGGAUCGGGUUCGGAUCAACCCGAUCCGGUUUCGGGUUGGAUAAAAAUCGAUCCGAACUCCACCCGAAUUUAUAACUCGAUCCGACCCGAUCCGAAUUUAAUUCGGAUCGGAUCGGGUUAAAAAGUCAGGUGGAGUUCGGAUCGGAUCAGAUGCGGGCUAAUUUGGGUUCGGAUUAAAUUCGGGUUAUUCGGAUCAAUUCGGGUUAUAAUUAAUUAAUUUGGCAAUUUGGCAAUUGGGGAUUAAACGUAAUUUUAAUUGAGUUACUCCAUUAAUUAUCUUUAAUUAGAGGGAAGAGAGUGAAAGGGAGAAAAAAGAAAUUGUAUGACUUUUAAUUAAAUAACUUAUAAAUUUAGAAAUUAUGUACAUAUGUUAAAAUAUUAUUUGUUAGUGGUUUCAUAUUAGAUUAUGAAGACCCAAAACAUCACGCUAGAAUUUCUCCUGUCCAAAAGUUUUUCACAAUAAAAAAAUGAAUUAUUUUUUACAAAUUUUAAUCUUAUCCUAUGGUCAUGUUUGUUCAAAAUUCAAAGAAAACCUUAACGACUUGCUAUGUGGCACAAUAAUAAGUCUUAAUGUCUUAUAGUAAAAGAUAAAACCCAUUAAAUCUAAUAUUAAAAUAUAAUAAAUCACAAAAAAAAAACCCUCUACCAAAUGGCAGAACUCAAUCAGUGGACUGGAAUCCACAUUAAUUUUGUCCUGGGGCCACACGUUGAUACUUGAUAAGGAAACAUUUUUUUUCUUUUUCUUUUUUUUCUUUUUGACUUUUUGCCAUGGGGACCUCUGGAGAAGUGGAGAUACAGCCGUGUAAAAGAAAAUUUACAUACACUUUGCAUACACUUUAUCUAAUCCAAAAGACAAACACAGCAAACGUAAGGGAUUGAUUCAUUUUCAUUCUGGCAAUAACAACAUGAACGUGCAUGUCCUUUAUAAAACAAGGACAUUUCUCUUCCACUCUUGUCGCCUUGCUAACUAAGACAUUUCUUUCCCACCUUCCUUGUCCUCCCUCAUUCAUUCAUCCAUUCAUUUCAACCAACAAAAAAAGAAAACUACUAUAGAAUUAAAUUCAAAUGAUUCAAAAUUAAAAAUUAACACAAAGCAUAAAAUUAAAAUUAACACAAAGUUUAAAUUUAAUAGUCUCCAUCCAAAGCGCAAUGUCCAAUUCUAAAAUCUAAACAUUAAUCUUUAGAACACAAAAUUAAACAUAAUUAAAUAGUUUCCAUUUUCCAAAACACAAAUGACAAAGUUCCAAAAUCCAAAACACAACAAAAUUUAAAUGUAAAUCUAGAUCAACUUCCUCCACGGCUCCACCGUUCCUCGCAAGCACUUUGACAACUUUUAACUUCAAUUUCUUCUACUCCAAGUUGAAGAAUUGAAGCAUAUAUCCCCUAGGGAAAAAUUGAAAAAAUAAUAGAUAACUGUUUAACUACUUUCUUUAAGCCACAUUACAAAUAAAGGGACAUUAAACACAAACACAUAUGCCCAAUUCAUGUGUGUACUUGAUUAAAUAUAAGAAAAAAAAAUUAAGUCAAUUGUGGCUUAUUUCAUGGCAUUCAUCAUCAAGUAAAUUUAAUAAUAAUCCUAAUUCCUAAGUAAUACCAUUCCAACAAUUUCAAUGUGUCUAAAAUAAAUGAAACAAUUAUAAUGUCAUCACUUUGAAUUAAAACUAUAACAACUAUUGUCUAUUAUUAUAGUGUAAAUUACAACCUAAACAUAUAAUAUGAAAUUAUAAAUAAUAAUAUAUAUUAAGAAUUACCUUUCAAAUAUCCAUAACACCCAUAUCAGUGCUCAUUGUUUCCACCGUUGAAGCUUGUGAUCUUACAAACUCUUUAAAAUGUCAAAAAAAAAAUGAAAUUAGUAAGUAACUCCCUUCGAAUGUAGAUGCUAUUUAUAAAGUUAUAAUACAUCUUCACUUUAUAAAGUAUGAGAAAAAUAUUACCUUCUUGUAGCUCCAUAUGGAAUAUCUGCUCUUUAAUAUCUUCCUGAAGGUUGUAGACAAGAUUAGCAAAAAGUUUAGCUUGUAACCAAUUUUCGGUACAUAUCAAUGCCUCAACCAUACAAGGGGUCAAAGAACUCCGAUAUUCGUCAAUGACAUGACGCCCUGUGCUAAAGGCAGAUUCAGAUGCCACUGUGGAAACAGGAACAACGAUGACAUCCCUUGCAAUUUUCUCUAAUAUCGGAUACUUCGAUCCAUUAACCUUCCACCAAAGCAAAACAUUGAGCUUAAGAUUGCUUGGAUCUUCAACUGGGUCACUCAAAUAUAGUUCCACCUCAGAUACUACUCUCUUGCCCUCAUUCUGAACAAACACUUUCUGAGCAUACCCAAAGAAAGGGCGAGAAACUCGGAAAAUGUCAUCACCAUCACCACUAGGACCCUCCAGCAAACCAACCUCAGUUGUAAAAUAAGGAGAAUAACUUGUACCACCAUAGCUAUCGCUAGGAACACUCUCACUACACAUCGAUGGUGUGGAACUAGAGCACAUUGCACUAUAUGCAUCAUAAAGCUCAUUCAACAAAUCUUUCACUGCUUUGGUCAUUUCUUCAACUUUCGAACCAUCAUUGGCAAAAAUGAUCUCAAAAAUAUGUUUGGCAAAAUCCAUUUUAACUCGUGGAUCAAGAAUAGAGACAACAAUUAACAUUUUAUUUAUUUUCCCUGAAGACUCCCAAUAUUUAUCAAAAUUUUCCCUCAUUUGAUAAGCCAUAGCCACCACCCAAGGAUCUUUACUUCCCUCUAAUGCAGUUAAUGAGCUCUCAAUUAAGCCAAUGGUAUCAUAACAAAUAUUAGAAGUCACACUCAAAGAAGUAGAAAAUAACAAAGUGGCAUCAUAAAAUACCUUCAAAAACUUCACAAUUCGCCCUGCACUCUCCCAAUCCUCAGGUCCAGGCGGGCCCACCCUCUUAGCGUUAUUUUCUUUCUCGAGAAAGUAUGCCUCAUAUGGUUUAUCCACCUCUGUCAUUCUAUCAAAUGCUGCUUGAAACUUCAACGCAGUCAUCAACAUUAAAUAGGUGGAAUUCCAUCUAGUAGGAUAAUCCAAAACAACCGUUCCAUUUGGACAUUUCACUUGUUGAGCACACUGUUUAAAUGCCUGUAGCCUUGUAGUGGAGGAUCUCACAUACUUCACAGCAUUCCGGAUGGCGGCAACACUAGCAUGCAAUUCAUUCAACCCCGAAACAACAAUCAAGUUCAAAAUAUGUGCACAACAACGCACAUGCAUAUACUAACCCGCCAAUACAAUUGCAUCAUCAUUCUUCCAAGUAAGCAAUUGCAUAGGCACAUAAUUAAUAACAACAUCAUUUGUACUGACAUUAUCAACAGUUAUUGCAAACAACCUCUCUAUCCCCCAAUCUUGUAAACAAGCUACAAUCUUUUUACCGAUCGUUUUUCCUCUAUGAUCUUCAAUCACACUGAAACUAAUAAUUCUUCUGUUCAAACACCAAUCACUAUCAAUAAAAUGAGUUGUGAUCACCAUGUAACUCAUGUUUUGAACAGAAGUCCAUAAAUCAGUGGUAAGAGACACUCGUUGUUUGUUGUUGCAAAUCAAACUCUUCAACAUUAUUUUUUCUUCCAAAAAUAAAUCCAUGACAUCCCUACCAAUAGUUCUCCGAGAUGGCAUAACAAACUGCGGAAUGGCUACACUACAGAAGUGCCUGAACCCUUUGUUAUCCACAAAACUAAGUGGCAACUCACCCAUAAUGAUCAUUUUGGUGACUGCCCUUCUACAAGCGUCUUGACUCCAACCUUUCGCCAAAACCAUAUUACUUGCAUUUCCUUCCCCACCCUCAGUUGUCAAGUUUUGUUGACUUCCCUCUUGUUGUUCCCGGAAUGUCUUGUAUGCAAGGCAAGCCAGUAUAUGAUUUCUCAUAUUUGUAAUCUCAUCACGCCUUGAAUGACAUUGAUAUUGUCUACCACAAUAGUUGCACUUGCAUUUGUUUGGAUUGUCCUCAAGCAAAGUAAAAUGAUUCCACGUCGCAGAUCUUUUCUUCAUCGCUGGUCUUUUCCGCUUUGCCUUUUGAGUUCCUUCCAUUUGAACACUUUGAUUGUCAUCAUCACUUAUUGAAUUCGAUCUUGAGUGUCCAGACAUCUAAACAUACAAAUAAAUAAUUACUAAUCAUUAAUUCAUAAAUUAAAACACAAAAAGACUAUUAAAAAAAAUCUACUUAAUAGUUAGUAUUACAAAUUGAUUCAAAUAAUUGUUAAUUUAAUUUUAUGAAACUUUUUGAAAUCGAUAUUUCCAAUUUUCCACCAUAAUGUUUAUAUAUGAUCAAGAAUUCAAGAUGCAUAUUCCAUAAAAGAAAACCAAGAAAUUAAUGUAAUUAUUUAAUUUAUAAUAUCUAAUUAUCCAUUGGCCAAAAUAAUAUAAUAUUAAUUCAUAUCCGUAUCUUAAAUUCUUAAUUCUUAUUAUGCCCACAUUAUAUGUACUUAACCACUUAAUAUUUACUUAUUGGUUAAUGGUUAUCAUGCAAUUAAUUAAAUUGAUUAAUUAUUUGUUGAAGUUGAAACUUAAAACUACUGCAAUUAAAUUGGUUAAUUUUUUGUUGAAGUUGAAACUAUUGUACAAAUACACAUAUCAUAUGACAUAUAUAAUUAUAAUUUAUAUUGUAACAUAAUAUUUAAUUUUAAUUUUUAAUCUAACAUUACUAUUCAUACAAAAAAUCAAUUAUUAAUUAAUAACAGAAAAUUAAUGCCAGAUUAUUUUCAUUUUAUUGAUAAAAUUUAACAAUAUAUAAUUAACAUACAAAGUUACAAUUAACAUUUCUCAUAUAACAUAUAACAAAUAAAAAUUAUAAUUAAUCAUUAAUGCAUAUAUAAUUAUAUAAUAUAUACUAAUACCAUCUCUUAAAUAACUUUGAUGUCUUGCUGAUUCGGGCUUUAAGCCUUCAAGUUCCAAUUCCAAACUUCCAAGUUUUCCAACUUCCAAUUCCAAAACAGAGAGUGAAGAGAGUCAGAGACCUUUUGAGACUGGAGGCUGGAUCCGUGACCCGUGAGGCGUGACCGUGAAUAGGUGUGGUGGCCGGAUGUCAACACUUAACAGCCGUGACCCGUAGAUGCCAAUGGUGGAGACUCGAGUGGAUUAGAAGCAGCUUGCUGGGUGGAUCUUCAAUCAGACUGAGUUAUGGUGGAGUGGAGGAUUCAAGGCAUGGAUCCGGCGCUUGGUUGCAGCAGAUCUGUAGAUCGGGUCACGAUCUUCGCGAAUCAGCUUCGGCUUCGGUUGGGGUCGUUCUCGGAAGUGGUUGCUGGCUGCGUGUGGUGGUCGGUUGAAGCUAGCUCCGUGAACUGUGCGUGUGUGUUUGCUGCGUGUGGUGAGCGAUGAAGGCCGUGACGCCGUGAGGCAUGAAUGAGUGUGGGACUAUGGGUUGGCUGCUGCCUGCUUGUGCUUGACGGCUGCUGGUUUCAGUGAUUUGUGUGUGACAAUGAGGGUUUGUGAAUUGUGAUAGUGAUACCGUGAGUGAGGGUUUGUGACUGUGAGUUGUUACUUGUUACUUUGCUUCGCUUGUGUUGUUUUCUUGGUGAAUUACUGAAUUGUUUUGUAACUUUUGUUGUGGUGAAUAGUUUGAAGUGAAUUCCUGAAUUGUUUUGUUGCGGUGAAUACUUUGUGAAAUGUGAAUUACUGAAUUGAAUUGUGAAUUACUGUAAAUCUGUGAGUUUGUACUCUGUACUGUGAUCUGUAUUCUGUUUCUGUGAGAGUGUGAGUUACUGAUUCAGUGCCUGUAUUCGUGUGAGAUGUGAGUGUGUCAUGUGUGUGUCUGUGUGAUAUUGUAAGUGUAAAUCUGUAAUUUUUGCCCAAGUUUUUUUUUUGUCUCAACCCGAUCGGGUUUUCGGAUCGGAUCGGGUUGAGACAAUUUCACCCGAUCGGGUUUUGUUGACCACCCGAUCCGAUUUGAACCCGAAUUUUUUCGGAUCGGGUCGGAUAAUUUGCCCACCCCUAGUAUUAUAUAUAUUAUAGAAAAAUUAAACGGUUGCUAAAGAUUAUUAUACUGUUUUAUUUAAUGGGUGGGUUAUUUUUAACUUAAAUUUUUCACUGAAAUUUUUGAGCAAUUGAAUAAAAAAUAAAUGAUAAUCGUUAAAUAUUAUCUUGACGUUCAAUAUCUAUUAUUAGAUUGUAUGAAAUCAAUAACUUAAAAUUUGUGUCAAAAUUUAAAUAAAAAUAAACUAAUUUUUAUUUUAAUUAUUAUAAAUUUAAUUCUUUUUCAUGAUUGUUCUCUUUUCCAUCUCUUAUUUAUUAUUGCUGCUAAUUUACAAAGUCAUAUAACUUACAAACCCUCAUCAAUAUAAAAGUAAUACCCGAUAACAAAAAUAAAAAUAAAAAUUGACAGUUAAAUUAUUGGUUACAUGAAUACGAUGCGUAUUGUAACAAGUCUUUUAUUUUAAUGCAUCGUUGGAGUUUCGUCACUAUUUGAUACAAACAAAUCCACUGGACAAGCAUCUUUAAUCUUUUGACUUUUUUUCGCAUCAAAUUUGGGGGCAAAACUUCCGACCACUCAUUAAUCGUUUGGUAGUUCAAUGUGGUCCUGUGGAUAUGUCUGAUCUGAAAUUACAAGGAUUGACUAAUAAAUGCAAUAAACGGGUCAAUGCAAAGUAAGGGCUCCUACUAUAUAACACCCCUCACUUGCACAAAAAAACAGUAAUAACUUAUCAAAAAAAAAAAAAAAAAAACACAGUAAUAAGGUUUUUAAGAAAAUAAUGGUAAUACUUAAAAUUUAAGUUUUCUAGACUUUUUAUAUAGCCGCGGUGUUAGAACCUUUUUAGUGCACUUUAACUUACCAAUAAGUUUCUUGUGCACCUAUCAUUAUUUAUAAUAAUAAUAGUAAAAAAAUAAAUUGAAAUAGUAAUGACAUAAUAAAUAAAUCAACAAUAUGUAAUAUAUAUAUAUAUAUAUAUAUAUAUAUUCACUAACCCCAAGGCCAAUAAAAUUACAGUGUUCUUAAAACAAAUUUGCCACAUUCACAAUGACGCUUGAAUUAUGUUUGGGGGAAAAAUAAGAUAGCAGAAUGCCACGUGUCGACGAAUGAAAUAACUUCAGUGCGAUUCGAGGUACCCGAUAUGAUUAGAGGUACCCCGCACGAUUAGAGAUAUCUACCAUGAUUUGAGGUACCUGGCACGGUCAGAGGUACCCUGCAUAACUCCAGAGUAACUCGAGGUACCCCGCAUAGAUUGGGGUACCCCGUAUAAUUCGAGGUACCCGGAAUAACUCCAGCAUAAUUCAAGGUACCCAGAAUAACUCCAGCAUAAUUUAAGAUACCCAGAAUAACUCCAACAUAAUUCAAGGUACUCGGAAUAACUCGAGAUACCUAGCAUGAUUAGAGGUACCCGGCGUAAUUAGAGGUGUCCAGCCUGAUUAGAGGUACCCUGCAUGAUUAGAGGUACCCAGCACGAUUAGAGGUACCUGGCUUGAUUAGAGGUACCCCGCAUGACUAGAGGUACCCGGCGUGAUUAGAGGUACCCCGCACGAUUAGAGGUACCCAGCGUAAUUAGAGAUACCCCACUUAAUUCCAAAGUAACUCAAGGUACCCCACAUGGAUCGGGGUACCCCAUAUGACUCGAGGUAGCCGACAUGUCCGACUUAGGAGAAUCCUCUUAAGAAAUCCAUCAUAGGAAAUAUCUUCAUAUCUUGAAGGAUAAUAUUUGAUUUUGUCAGAAUUAUGAAUAAAAAACGUCGUGCUAAAAGGGGGGACAACCGCCUGGCACCUCUGUCAAAAGUGAAGGACAUUGUCCCAAGGACGGUGGUCCUCAGUCGCCUACGCGACAGCUACUGCAGAGGUACCCUAGACCGCUCUCCAACGCGCGCCACGUUUCCAAAGGAUGAGGUACGCCGCGAACAUGCACAUAACGGCCCAAAAAUCAUAAAAAUGUAAAAAGAAGUUAGCAAAAAAAGGUACGCCACGUGGCAGCUGAGGUAUUCCAUAUAUAAAGGUGCCUAGGUUUCAUUCUCAGGGGGGCUCUCACUCACCAUUAACACUCACACUCCAAAAAAAAAGUUUUCUUCAACCUUAAACCCUAAUUUACAGAGGGCUAGCCAGCUCUCUUUACCAUAAAAGCUUGAGUUUGCUAACUUGAGCGUCGGAGUGUGAACGCCGGGGUACCCCGACUUCACCUCUAACCUCUAUUUUACUGUUUUGCAGGCGUGAAGCUCAUUUUGAAGGACAUCUCUCUUGAUUUUGACCUUUCACCAUUGUUACCACUCCCUCUCCCCUUCUCACCUCCCCCGAAUUUCAGAUACACCGCACCGCACACAACAAACCAGUGAAGUACCCCGUCUCCCCCAAAAAUACAAAUUUAUUGUUCUAGAUAGGUUUAGCUUUUCCUACUCCAAAAUCGAUCGAAAACAAAUUAUAUAGACUUCUGUCUCUCACAGGAUACAACAGAUUUGAAAUAGUGUUAGCAGUACAAUCUCACUAUUCCCAUGAACCUCAAACAAAUAUUUCAAUUCUAUCGCAUUAAAGUCUAAAGCUAAAGAGAAUUUGCUUAAAAGAGAAGAGAAUAAAAUCACUUGGAUUUUUUUGUGUUUUUCAAUUGAACACGGAAGCCAAUAUAUAUAAGCUUCAAAAGGGGCAUCAGUUAAUUAAACAAUCUUAUGGGAUCUUUCUUUAUUUUUUCCACACCAGUGGAUGCUCCUUGAGAUCUAAUUUCUCAUUCACCCAAAUACUAAUUUGACCAUUUUAUGAUUCGUUGCGAAGAUCUCAUAGAGAAGAUUCUGAAUUAUCCAUGUAAAUAUAUUUUUUCGAUAUUUAUUUUGCUCAAAACUGGCCUUAAAAUAGGCGCUUUAUGCUAUUUUUUCUAACACAACUAAUUGCAUAAUAUAUGUAGCAAAUGGUUCUAUUAUGAUUAUUAUUAUUUUUUUUUUUUGGAAAAUGAAUUUCAUAAAUUAGAACCAAACAUUAAUAGUAUAGCUAGAAAGUCUUCCAGUCAAAUUACAAAAUUUGGACGGUUAACAAUCAUCUAUUACAAAUUUCUCUAAGAUCUUGAAUCAGCUUGUGAAUGUCUUAAAUCAUCCAUUCAAUUAAUUUUUUUUUUAAAUUUUAAAUUAUUGAUCCGUCAAGAUAUACAAAAUUGCACACGCGCGCGCACACACACACACCACAAUUACCGAUCCCGGACUAUAGAGAAAUCAAAUAAACAUGGUUAAUAUAUACAUUUUAGUCACAUAGAAUUUACCGAUAUACCAUUACAAUACCUAUUUGCCCUUCGUAUUUACAGCCAUUAGAUUGGAAUGCCUUAAAUCCGAAGACUGAUUUACAACAAGACAAAAUACUAGUGUUAGUACGUCAAACACAACAUAGCUACCCUUAGAUUAAUCGUAAGACCAGAAAUAUUCAUAUUCAAUUGAGCCGGCAGCACAUAUCAUCAGAUUAUCGAUUCAAUUUUUUUAUCCUAUUUUAAAAACUAUCUGUACAUAAUACAUCCCCCAAUGCAAAACAAAAGCGUAUGGGCGGCUCGGAAUCCCUCCAAAGUCCAACCAUUCAAUGGAAUCAUUCAUUUGUUUAGUUUACUUCGGAGUUAAAAUAUAGAUAAUCAUAGUCAUCCAUUUGUUGUACCUUUUUUUUUUUUUUCUCUCAAUAAGAUUCGUUGUAGUUUUUAAAUACAAUAUAAUUUAUUUUUUAAAUACAAUAGAAAUUUAUGGAAUUUUUUGAAUCACCUAUACGGCACCAUUGUUUGAAAAUAUAAAAACAAAUUGGAUUUCCUCUAAAUAUUAAAAAAAAAAAAAAGAAAACUCGCAAAUACACACGGAAUAACUCCAACCACUCCCUCAAUUCCCAUGUGAGAAACAAGCAAAUUGAUUUGGCAUUGAGCCAUUUUGGGCUUAAUGGACUUGGAUUAUGAUGGCCCAUCUUAUUUUACAAUUGGAUUGACUUUGUAGCUGAUGAAUGAGGUCAAAAUGGCCUACAGAUUGUUUAAUUACCAAAACUGGAAAUAAAAACCCCACGUUGUACAAUUUCAAAAACUAGCAAGUAAAUCUGUCAAUAGAUAUAUCAAAAUAUCCGCCAAUGGUAACGAUAAUUGUAAUGGCUCGUCUCUAUGUCUUGAUUAUCCUAUCAACGAUAUUUACAUGCCAUGCAACAUGGGCUAUGGCCAAGGAGGAGAUUCGUGGGGCAGGGUCGGAGCGGCUGAGUUCAUUGACACGUGAGCUGCUGGGCUCAGCGGGGGAGCCCGAGUUCUUCGAAUGGAUGAAGAGAAUUCGGAGGAGAAUACACGAGAAUCCGGAAUUGGCUUUUGAAGAAUACGAGGCGGGGCAACUCGUCAGAAAUGAGCUUGCCUCGCUUGGAAUUGAGUACACGUGGCCGUUUGCUAAGACUGGGAUUGUGGCUUUCGUGGGGUCAGGGGUCCAGCCCUGGUUCGGUCUUAGAGCUGACAUGGACGCCCUUCCAAUCCAGGUUUCACGCUUUUUAAAGCCCAAAACGUCAAAUCCUGUGGCCAAAAGUAAAAAGUGUUGUUGAAAUUUCAAUUAUUGCUUUCAGUUUAUAACUUCAGCCAUGACUACUCUUUUGUUUUUUGUUUUUUAUUCCUUCUGGGAAUAUCCUACCUUCAAAUCAUUCUUUUUGUUUUUCAAAACCUCAAAUUUUGAACAUAGUUAAUUGAAGAUAAAAUAAUUUAAAAUUAAUUCUUUAGAAAUAUUACUCACUCAAAAAAAAAAUUAAAAGAUGUCAAGACUAAAAUAUUUGAACAAUUAUUUCUGCUGUAUGCGUGUAUCAUUAUUGAUAGUAUAAAUAAAUAAAUUGUUUAAAUUUUUGAAAAGUGAAAGAAAUUAUAAAAAUAAAUAUGUGGGACAUGUGAUGCUUUUUUAUCCGACAUUUGUGUUAGGUAAGCUGCCAACUUAAUUUAUAUUUUAAAAAAAAAUUGUUUGUCAACUGUUUGUAAAAAUCUAUUAACGUGACAAGUUGCAAUUGGAAAUGUAUGUGAUAUUACUCAAACACAAGUCAAUAAUCUUACUCGCCAUUGCUAUUUGAGAAGGAAAUGGUGGAGUGGGAGCAUAAGAGCAAGAACAAUGGUAAAAUGCAUGCUUGUGGGCAUGAUGUUCACACAACAAUGCUGCUUGGAGCAGCUAGGCUACUUAAACAAAGAAAAGAUAGAUUAAAGGUAAAUUCAUAAACACACAAACAUCUCAGAGCAAAGAUGAAAAAUUCAAAAAUUAUAUCUGCACUCGAAUUUGCCACUUUGUUUUGAUUGAUUUGCGUUAUACAAAUUUCACUUCAAAGGGCACUGUUAAGCUUGUCUUCCAACCUGGAGAAGAAAGUUAUGGCGGGGCGUACCAUAUGAUAAAAGAGGGUGCUCUUGAAAAGUUUCAGGGCAUUUUUGGAUUGCACGUUGCUCCAGAACUGCCCACUGGUACAAUUGGUUCAAGACCUGGUCCUGUGCUAGCUGGUUCCAUGAGGUUUCUAGCCGUAAUUGAAGGAAAAGGUGGCCAUGCCGCAAUGCCCCAUGCAACUAGAGAUCCAGUUCUUGCAGCAUCCUUUGCAAUCCUUGCACUCCAGCAGAUAGUUUCGAGAGAGACAGAUCCUCUUGAGGCCAGGGUAAAAAUUGCUCCUGACUUUAGUACACAUGCGAUUCUUUAUAUAUGACUUAUUUGUGAAUUGAUUUGUCCAUUCAAAAGGUACAAAAAUCUACAUCUACCGUCCCAAUUACAUGUUGUCCUCAGUAGAAGCAGAGUUCUUAGUUAUUAAUCCUUUUUCAACCGUACACAGCUAGUCUCAGUUGGGUUCAUUGAGGCAGGCCAGGCGGGAAAUGUAAUCCCAGCGAGUGUCCGAUUUGGAGGAACUUUGCGGAGCAUGACUACAGAAGGUCUGUUUUACCUUCAGCGAAGGGUCAAAGAGGUAUGCAUUACUUGAGGUUUCGCGGGAAAGAAUAAAAUGUCAGAUCUUCUCAAGGAUUUUCUCGUAGUCUGAUUCAUUCAUUUUGUGCAAAAGGUUCUAUAUAGUGUUCGUGAUUUUCAAUGCAAUUUGUGGUUUCAUGGUGUAUAAAUUUAUACCCAAGACAUUGUUUUAAAGAAAAUUCAAAUAGAAAACACACUGAAGCUUAGGGAUACUAAUGGACUGAAUUUUUUUUUUUGCCCAAGAAAAGAAAGGAACGGCCUAAGAUUUUCUUUUCAAGACUAUAUGUGAUUAUUUGAACGUAUUUUUGUUCCCAGGUCAUAGAAAUGCAAGCAGCAGUUCAUCAAUGUAGUGCCACAUUAGACUUCAUGGAGGAAAAACUGAGGCCUUAUCCGGCAACUGUCAACGAUGAAGAGAUGUAUGAGCACGCAAAGAAGGUAGGAACCUCCUUGCUCGGGGAAGCAAACGUGCACCUUCUUCCAAUGGCGAUGGGAGCAGAGGACUUCAGUUUCUACUCACAGAAGAUGGCGGCUGCACUUUUCAUGAUCGGGACAAGGAAUGAAACGCUCAAGCCAGUCGUCAGACUGCACUCACCGUACUUAGUAAUCGAUGAGGAUGUUCUCCCAAUAGGAGCAGCUCUUCAUGCUGCUGUUGCCAUCUCUUAUUUGGACGACCAUGCUGUCGAAACUCAAUAGGAAACCUGGUAUCUUCAAAAGGGACGGUUAUUGUAUUUGUAAAUACUUAUAUUUUUUCCAUUUUUAAUUCGCGCUGCGCACCCACUCAAGCUUGAUUCCAGGACCUUAGCCUAAGAAGGCUGAUCCUUACCGCUAGCGUUGAUCCUAGACUUCAAAAUACUUCGCUCUAAAUCUUCCUUACUAUACAAUAAAAGCCUUCUUGAAAUGAAAAUUAUUAAUAAAUAAUCACCAGAUGUACAAUUCUAAGAUUUUAGACAUCCCAACUUUGGAGGAGUUGAAAUUUCAAUGAUCCGAGGUUAAUGAGAGUAUGGGACUUAUAGGUUACUGCAAUCUGCCUUUUCUUUUUUAUUUUCUGAGGGUUUACAAUAAAAACAGAAUUUUAAAUGCAUCCAUUCGAUGUAAUGACACGCGUACAUAUCAGAGUUGGGUCGGCCCAUAUCAUUGAUAAUUGGCAUUCGGCUUCCAGCUAAACACGAGUUCUAUGACAAAACCGACGCUGGAGAGUGUAGCGUACAGAACUGAGAAAAUUUUAAUUUUAUAAAUAGAAAAUUCAAGCUAUUUUGUACCGCAAAUUUUUCACAAAAUGUAUCUAAUGCUAUUGGCUCGUCUCUGUCUUUUGAUUAUCGUAUCAACGAUAUUUACAUGCAAUCCCACAUGGGCCAAGAAGGAAACUCAGUCGGGAUCGGAGCAGCUGAGUUCGUUGACUCGGGAGCUGUUGGACUCAGCGAGGGAGCCCGAGUUCUUUGAGUGGAUGAGGAGGAUUAGGAGGAGAAUACACGAGAAUCCGGAGUUGGGUUUUGAAGAGUACGAGACGAGCCAACUCGUAAGAUCGGAGCUUGACUCGCUUGGGAUUGAGUACACGUGGCCGGUUGCCAAGACUGGGAUCGUGGCUUCAGUGGGUUCAGGGGGUGAACCCUGGUUCGGUCUUAGAGCUGAGAUGGACGCCCUGCCUAUUCAGGUUUCACUUUCAGACAAACAUUUUGACUUCUGUUCGAAAAAAAGAAAAAAAAGAAAAAAAAAUGUUGUAAUAUAAAAUGCUGAUCCUCUUUCUUGUGUAUUAGUGGCGCUAUCUUUAGUCUUUUAUUGCUAAACAAAAACUCUAUGUAAUCUUAUUCAACAUUCACUAUUUGAAAAGGAAAUGGUAGAGUGGGAGCAUAAGAGCAAGAACAAUGGUAAAAUGCAUGGUUGUGGCCACGAUGUUCACACAACCAUACUGCUUGGGGCAGCUAGGCUACUCAAACACAGAAUAGACAGAUUAAAGGUAAAUUCAUAAUCACACAUGCUUCUUAUAGAACAAAUGUGAUACAUUUCUCAAUCAGUUUGUUGUUGACUGAAUCACCUUGCAAUCAUUUCACCGCAUAGGGCACGGUUAAGCUUGUCUUCCAACCUGGGGAAGAAGGUUAUGGCGGCGCAUACUAUAUGAUAAAAGAAGGUGCUGUUGAUAAGUUUCAGGGCAUGUUUGGAAUACAUAUUUCCCCAGUACUGCCCACUGGUACAAUUGGCUCAAGACCUGGUCCUUUACUAGCUGGUUCUGGGAGGUUUACAGCCGUGAUUAAAGGAAAAGGUGGACAUGCCGCCAUGCCCCAAGAUACCAGAGAUCCUGUUCUUGCAGCAUCCUUUGCCAUCCUCACACUCCAACAUAUAGUUUCAAGAGAGACAGAUCCUCUGGAGGCCAGGGUAAUAUUCGUUCCAAUUUCAUAUGCCAGCUUGACUAUCAGCAUUCUGUAAGGUUGUGAUAUUAUCUUCUUAUAAGCAAAUUUAUAUGCCUACACAGGUAGUCACAGUUGGGUUUAUUGAUGCGGGCCAAGCAGGAAAUAUAAUUCCUGAGACCGUGAGAUUUGGAGGCACUUUCCGGAGCUUGACUACAGAAGGUCUGUUAUAUCUUCAGCAAAGAAUCAAAGAGGUAAAAUUAUUUGAGGUUGCAUAUCAAUGAUACAAUGUAUUUCUUGGCAGUAUUUGCAUAAUAUAAUUCAUCAAAUUCGCAUGAGCUCUAAAUAAUAAUGAUUUACUUCAAAUGUAGCUGAAAGAGUAGACUCCCUUUCAAGGCUGUGAUCUUUUUUUUUUUUUUUAUUACAUGAGAUUAUUGUUCAAGAGUACAACUCAGAGUAGACUCCCUUUCAAGAGUGUGAUCUUUUUUUUUUUAAUUACAUGAGACUAUUGUUUAAGAGUACAACUCAUAUUUGGAACUAGUUUACCUCAAUAUUCUUAUGAAGCCCGUCCAAAUUUUUACCGUCCAUUCAAAAUUUUACCCUCUCUAAUAUUCGAGGGACGUCUACUGCCUUCACUCAAAUUAAGGAAGAAAAUUAAACCCCCACACUGCAUUGUGGGGACUCAAACCCAUGACCUAACAAUUGUGAGGUAUGGGUUCUAACCACUAGGCUUGUUGGCUGUGAUCAUAUUUUUAAAUCAAGAUAAUAGCACUCAUUGUUAACAGGUCAUAGAAAUGCAAGCAGCAGUUCAUCAGUGUAGUGCAACAAUAGACUUCAUGGAGAAAAAAAUGAGGCAUUAUCCGGCAACUGUAAAUGAUGAAAAAAUGUAUGAACACGGCAAGAGGGUCGGGGCAUCCAUGGUUGGAGAGCCAAACGUGCAUCUUACUCCAGUUGAGAUGGGAGCAGAGGACUUCAGCUUCUACACUCAGAGGAUGCCAGCUGCACAUUUUUAUGUCGGUACAAGGAAUGAAACGCUUAAGCCAUUCAUCCGACUGCACUCCCCGUACUUAGUUGUUGAUGAGGAUGCCCUUCCUAUUGGAGCAGCUCUUCAUGCUGCAGUAGCCAUCUCUUACCUGGACAACCUUGAAGUUGAAGUACAAUAGGAAUGGUGUGUCUUCACUCCCCGUACUUAGUUGUUGAUGAGGAUGCCCUUCCUAUUGGAGCAGCUCUUCAUGCUGCAGUAGCCAUCUCUUACUUGGACAACCUUGAAGUUGAAGUACAAUAGGAAUGGUGUGUCUUCGUAAGAGAGUUUUAUAUUUGAACUAGUAAAAAAGAAUUGUAUAUUUAAAUCCAGUGGUAUUUCAAUGCCCUCCUUGUAAUAAUAAACCAUCUGGAAAUGAAAAUUAUUAAUAAACACCAAAAAAAAAAAAAAAUUCAACCGCACACAUGCUUUUACUUUUUGAGAUUGGGGUAAAGAAAGACAGUCAUUGCACAUUUGCACUCACCUUAAUUUAUCGUGAAUUUAUGAUGAAGAGGCUCUAGCAUAACAUUAACCAAUCCGUUGAAACUGAAUAGAAACAUGCCAAGAACAUCAACGUAAAACCAAAAAGAAUUGCAUGAUUGCUUCAGUUUAUAGAGGAAGUAAAUACAUGAUGAGGCGCUACAAGAAUAAAGAAACAGAGAUGUGAUCAACUGAUCUUACAGAUUGACAGGAUAUACAUGAUCUUCAGAAAGGUUGACCUCUAAAAACUAGCAAAUCAAAAUGUAUCUGAUUUUGGGAAAGCCAACCGCAGCUGUAGAGAAUAUGCAAAGAAUGUCAGACUUUUGAACUAAAGCGAACUGCAACCAGGUAUUUUUCUAAGCCCCCUCUCCUUCAUUUUGCUUCUAACAAGAGAGACAUCCAACCACCGAUCUGCAGUUGCAUAGAUGUUGGAUAACAGCACAUAACUACCAGCAUUUUGUGGCUCGAGCUCAAAAAGCCGGUUUGCGACCAAUUCUCCUAACUCAAUGUCUGAAUAUAACUUACAGGCCCCAAGGAGUGCACCCCAGGCACUUGCAUGAGGCUCCACGGGCAUUGAAUUUAAAAGCUCAUAAGCCGAUUUCAAGUGUCCGGUCCGGCCAAGAAGAUCAACCAUACAUGCAUAAUGCUCAGGAGAAGGAACAAUAGCAUACACGUUUUGCAUGGCUUCAAAAAAGCGCCAACCAUCCUCAACAAGUCCAACAUGACUACAAGCAGUCAACACAAUUGUGAAGGCCACCUCAUCAGGAGUCAGCCCUUCACUUAACAUUCUAUCGAAGAGGGAAACAGCCUGUCUGCCAUGCCCGUGUAUCGACAAUCCUUUUAUCAUGGAACAAUAUGAUACCACGUCUCUAUUAGGCAUUGUUUCAAAUAACUCGGCCGCUCUAUCCAUAUUCCCACACUUAGCAUUCAUGUCUACAAGUGCUGCAAUAACAUGAGCUCGGCUAAGAUCCAUGUGACUUCUACUCAAAUAAGAAUCCACCCAGUUGGACAAAUCCAAAUUGCCCACCUGAGAACACGCUGACAUCAAGCUCACCAAUAUAAACUCAUCUGGCUGGACGUUCUUUGAACACAUAUCCGAAAAUAUCUUCACAGCCUCAUCAGGCUGACCAUUCUGUGCAUACCCUGAUAUCAAGGCUGACCAUGCAACAACAUCUCUAUCAGGAGCUGCCUCAAACAAGGACCUUGCUGACGUCAUAUCACCCACUUUCGCAUAUCCAUCAAUCAUUGUGGUAUACGAUACCACAUUCCUCUCGGGCAUUUCAUCAAACAACUGCCUAGCACUUCUCAAAUCUCCUAUCUUCACUAACCCCCCAAUCAAAGCAUUCCAUGAAACAUUACUCCUCUCCGGCAUUAAAUCAAAAACCGUCUUCGCUUCCACCAAAUCCCCAACACUCGCAUAUCCAACAAUCAUCGCUGUCCAUGAAACAACAUUUCUCUCAGGCAUUUCAUCGAACACUUUACGGGCGCAAGAAAUCUCUUUACGUUUCCCAUAUAAGUCAAUCAAACUAGUUCCCACAAACACAUCCUCAUCAACCCCCCACCUAAUUACAGCAGCGUGAAUCGCCGUUCCUUCCCUCACACUAAGCACAUGCGAACACGCCUUAAUUACCAAUGGGAACGUAUACUUAUCAGGCACCGCUUCCUCUCUAAUCAAUCGAACAAAAAUCGUAAAAACCUCAAUAAAACGAGAAUUCUGAGAGUACCCUUUUAAGAGGGUGUUCCAAAGAAAAGUAUUGGGAUUGACAAUGCGAUUGAAGACGGCGGAAGAGUAAGAUAAGGGAGUGGCGAGGGAGUGACACAGCGAGAUGAAGUGGGCAACGAGAGAGUGAUCUUGGUCGAGGCCCUUUUUGAUGAUGUGAGAGUGAACCUGGUGGAGGUGAGUUUGGAGUUUGCACUUCUUUAUCAGGGUUAAAGCGGAAAGGAGACACGAUGGUUUUGGGAAGUUGAUGGGCGCUGAUCGUGAGCAGUUAGGUAGCAUCGAAGAGCAGGACUUGUGCUUGCAUGGCGUGUUUGGUUCGUCAAUUUUGGGCAUUGGAGUUAGUCAGUUAGCUCUCCCUCGCGGGAUAGUUGCCCACUGUCCCCGCCAUUGUAGCACGUGUGCCGCCAGCCCAGAACAUAAGGGUGGUCUACAUAAUUGUAAUGAUUCAAUGGGUGAUAGUACUCGCACUUUAUGGUGGGUAACAGAAUUCUAUGGCUUCUAUAUGCUUACAAUAUAAUAGGCAGUAAUGCUCAACAAAUCAUCUUCAUUCAAGUACAAAUUUGACUUUUAGUUACCCAGCUGAAAGACUAUCUUCGAAAAACUCUAUAAAUUUUAUUCUUUAAAUAUUUAUUUGUUUACAUACGUGAUAAAUAGAAGAGUAAAAAAAUAUUUUAUUCUAUUCUUUAAAUAGAAAUGAGUUAAUAUUAUUUUAAUUAAAAUAAUUAUUUUUUAAAGAAAAAAUAAUAGUAAUUAAAGUGCUUCUUUCUUUUUCUGUAAUAAAAAAUAAUAAAAUAUAAAUUAAAGAGAGAUAAAGUAAUUCUUUAAAUUUAAAGAGAGGGGAUCAAUUCUUUUUAAAAAAAAAUUUAAUUAAAAUAUUUUUUAGAAUCUUAAAUAUUAAUGUGUCUCUUUAAAUAAGUAAUAAAAUCAUAUUUAAAAAAUUUUACGGUGAAACUUUAACUCGGACACAUGACAAAAUUCGUUAGAAAUUUGACAAUAAGGUGAAUCUUUCGUCUCAUUUUGGAGCCCAAUGUGGCAGAGGCCCAAAAAUUUACUUCACUGUCGCAGUGCCGCUCGCCGAACCAACAAACAAAAAGCAGCCAAGUGACGUUGCGAAGACGGCAGGCUGAAGCGAGGAUUGAUUAGUACAGUAACUAGCGACUUGCCACCACCAGCAGAAUGGUAGUGUGGUCAUACCCACCAACGCGCAAGCAACUAGCCAUGUCAAUCGCGUUUUUCAUCACCGGCGUUUCACUAUUUACCGCCGGCGCUUACCUGUCCCUGGUCAACGUCGCCCCACAGCAAGCUCGCGCUAAAGCCCGCAAAGAUUUCGUCAAGGCCCGUCUCAGAAAGCUCCUCGACGAUUAGCAAACUAAUGUUUUUGCUUAUUAACGCUCAUCCACUAAUGGGUAUGUCCUUUGAUUGUAUAGUAUUCUAUUGUAAUUGCAUUACUUGUGUCGAAUUGAAUCAUGGGUUGUGUUUGGUUGGCUAAAAAUUGAAUCUUGUUUAUGAUAAUGAAAAUUUUGAAAUCUUCAGCAAUAGAUGAUUGUCUCAAUUUUCUUGUUAAAUGUAGAAGUUGAAUGUAAUGGAGAGUUGGUGUACAAUGAAUCAAUUAGAUUUUAUUUGACAAAUUCUGGGUUAUAUACACUCGGUGGAUCACUGAAACACUUGUACGUUUUGGCAUAAGCUUUAUCAUUAUUGAUCAUUUAGGCCUCACUUCAAUGCCUUCAAUCACAAGCCCUCCUUUCAAUUGGUAACCCUUUAUCUCCCUUAAACUCAUCUUCACUUCUUGAUCACCUUCUUCGUCACCACUAAAGAACUCUCCCAAUUCAAUCUCCAUCCAACCAUCAUCUCUUUCUCUAGCAAACCUUUCAUCCCCUUCAAUUACUCUUGACUUCGUCCUCUGAGUCCGGUUGCCGUAAAACAAACACUCCAUUUGAUGUUUCUUCUUGUCUUUGCAACUCAAAUAGGCUGUGUUAGCAGAUAUUAUUUGAUUUCCCAUUUCUAGGAAUGUGUCUGACGGUAAUAAAUCCAACCCAUGUGCACGGUGGGUGAUGUUAAUCAAAAGAUAAGCUCUGUACAUUGUGUUUGGUGACAACAUAUGAGUUCUGAUCUUCCCUUCAAUCUCCAACCAACUAAUCAUUCUUAGUUCAGCCACCUCUAGGAACCUGGAAGCAAAAAUGUGCAUGUGUCUGUUUUACUAGUUUUGAAAUAAAAUAAAAAUAAGCAAACAUAAAGCAUGCAUGCAUAUGCAAAAGUUAACCUUGAUUUUAGGGAAGGUUUCCAGCUCCAAUACUCUGGCCUAUCACUCCAUGUAAUUGAAAGCUCCCUUGAAGACAAUACAUAGGAUUUUUUGCCAGAUGAUUUAUCCAAUUUGAAGCUCUGCAUUUUGUAUGCUUUUGUUGUAAAAUAAACAAUAUAGGAGAAAAGAAUUUAACUCUUGGAUCAAAGAGUUGUUGAUUACUUUAAAAAAAAUACAAAUAUCUGGAGAAUGGCUAUAAAAUUGGCGAACCUUUCUACCGCCGUCUAUGAGAAUGGGAUUACAAAGAUGAAGAUAAAGCUCUUUCUUUGAAGAGAACUUUAGAGAAGUGAUGGAUCUUGAUACAAUAUCUUCAUAAUCCGACGGCAAGAAUUUCUCCCAAGCAACAUUAGACUCGGCCGCUGACCGGAACGCCCGUGAAACCAACGUAGCCCUGCAUGCAUCUAAUGGAGAAGUGAGCGAGAUGAUGAUAGAAACACAAUCUUCAGGCAACAUAUUCAGCUCAAUACACCUGGAAUAUUCUUUUUGUACCGGCAAGAAUCUUAAACAAAAGGAAAUUUAUCUGUGCGUUUUAAGUUUCCCAUUCUAUAUAGGUAGCAUAUAUAAGUUGAGUUGAGUUGGAACUGUUGUUAGAGAUAAUAUUGUUCGUGAAAAAUUUGACAAUUUGCACAACUUCCGCUAAAACGAUUCGAGGUCAUAAUUCCAGUUGACGCCAACAAGAUUCUUAUACCGUGGAUUGACUUAACAUUGGUCAUUUAUCUGUCAAAAUAAUAUAUUUAAUCCAAACAAUAGUAAUAACGAUUUGCACAACUUUCAUUGAAACAAUCGAACUCACAAUCUGAUAAUUCCAGUUGACGCCAACCGGAUUAUUUGGUCAAUAUUGGUGUCUGCCCGUGGAUUGACUUCAUAUUGGUCAUUAAGCUUUCAAAUAUAAAUCUUAUAAUGGAGCUUGCUAACUUACAGAUUAGGGCUGUACCUCACAGAAUCUGUAAGUUAGCCCUCUCCUCUUAUAAUAUAUCAAAUUCAAACAACAGUAAUAGAUUUAUAAAAUUUUGGUAUCUUUUAUUAAAAAAAAAAUCACAAAAUAUGACACUAAUCAUUAACAAUUAUAUGUUACGUAGUUAAUCACUAUUCAUAUCAUCAAUGUUGAAUAAUAUGGCGACUGUGUUGCAGUAAUUAAUGAGAGACGUCCCAAGAGCUGGCAUCUAAGGAGAACACAUUUUAGAUAUAAUUUACUUGGUGUUAGAAUUGAAUAAUAUAGUGUGCUUAAGCUGCAUUUGAGUUAGGAUCAAAGGUAAAUAAUGAUUAAAACCUAAAAUAACUGGGUGCAGGAUUUGCAUGAAUGGUACCUUUUCACAGUAAAAAAUUUGGCUCUGAUUACAACAUUUAAUGAGAUAACUAAUACAUGGCACAACACACACACGUAUUGUGAUAUUGAAAUAUAAAUUGAAUUGGGUAUUGAUCGAUUUCCCUAACUAAUAGUUUGAUUAAUGAUCGAUUGUAUGAUUACGAGAAACUAAUUAUUGAUCGUAAAUAUUAGAAUUAAAUAAUAAUAAUAAUAAGCUAUCGUGUUUGAAGUGAUUGCUUAUUAUUUCACUCCAAGUAUAUAUCUCAGCUUUGCAACUGACAUUAAGAAAGUUGACAAAGCGGCAAUCUUCCUGCUGACAUGUGGUAACAUCUUAAACUUUGGCUUAACAAUCAUAUUUUAUGUUUUUGAAGGUCGCAUCUUCUAAAUCUCGCAUAUGGACUCUUGGUGCCUGAACGUUGCAGACUUGCAGCUAUGUUUUCUCUCUAAAUUUAUCAGGAUUUUAGCCGAAAUUUGAGAAUAUGAUUCUUUGUUGGAAGGUAAAGGGUGUCCUGAGAGGCUUACAUGAACAAAGCAGGGAAGAGGAACACAGAACAGGCAGCUACCUUAGACUUGCAGCAUAAUUAUAGGUUAUACUAGAAGUUUUUGUACAGGAGAUACUUCAUCCGGUUGGCACAUCUCGCAACAAGAACUCUAUAAACGCAAACGUUUCUACAAAUUGAUGAGACAAACUGAUAUGCAGCGAGCAAUUGCUGCAAUCUUAGCGGAUUUAAGGGAUGGCACGCAAAGCAUUAAUGAAAACAAAAAGGACAAUUCACAGUCUAGGCAUCUCACAAUUGACUAGCCUUGCCUCUGAGAUACCCUCAUCCAUUUCGAAUCUCUUGUUGCAAGUCGGAUGGCUCAGGGGGAUUGAGAAGAAAGCACAAUAGAAAUGCAUGUCACCACCUGGAUUUUCUUGCAUUCUGGCUUUCACCUCUGGACUCUGAUAGCCUCGACUUUGAAACACCCGCUGGCACCAUAGGAGGUCGCUCAUGAGCUGCAUUGCCAUGAUCUCGCAAAGGCCGCGUCGGACUAGCAUAAACCCUUGAAGCACCAAUCCUAGAACUUGACAACAAUUGGUCCUUAAGACCCUUUGCUGAUUUAUACCCAUGCAUUUCAUCUCCGUAACCUAAUACUUGAGCUUGCUUAUCUAGAUCUGAUUGUCUUCCCCAAUGCAAGUCAUCUCCCGCAUUUUGGAGUCUUUCAGCUUGGCUGCCCCAAUCAACUCCAUCUGAUAUGCUUCUCUGCAGAGUAGUGCUUCUCUUGGAUAGUUUGCCAGAGGUUGACUUUCUCCCCUUGAUUUCUUCUUCGUCAAAUGGAACCUUUCUUGAAUCAAGAGCAGCUCCAGGAGCAUAAGCCCAAUUGUAGAUCUUGUUAUUAUUGUCCAUAUUUAAUUCAAUGGAAUGAAGAUCACUUUCAGCCGAGUCUUCUUCAUAUUCUACUCCAUCUUCUACUUCUCCAUCAAUAUCAUCAUUCUCUUCAGUCGGAUUGGAACCAAAAUGGCUUCUACUUAAAUAAGCCGCAAUCUCCUCACUGGUUGGUUGAUUUACAGAACUGCGUCCUUUUUCUUUUGCCUUUUUGGUUCCUAGAAAAACUUCAAGCUGACUCCUCAAUUUAUCAACUGCAGCAUUUUUUUCUUCAAGCUGAUAUUUAGCCUCUGAGAGUUUGAUUUGAGCUCUCUCUUCACGCAAUACAUCAGCUACCUGCAUCAUCCCCCUUUCCUUCUCAACCUCUUCAAGAGCUAUGGCAGACUCUCUCUUAAGUUCUUCCACUUCAGAUUUAUCAUCAUUGAUAUCCCUGGCUAACUCAUCACAUACUUGUUCAAUUACUACUCUUGCUCUCUUCUCAGUAUCAAGAUCUUUCACCGCCUUCAGAAGGGAAUGCUUAGUCUCAGCUAGUUCUUUCCCGAGCUUCUUGUUUAAGCUUUCAAACCUUCUCCUCAGUUUCCUUUCUACCUCAAGUUCUCCUGCAAUAGAUUCAAUAGCAGCCCCAACCACUUCCCGCUCCUUGUUUUUCCAUGCUGCCUUUUCUUCAGCAAAACACUUCAUUAGAUAGCUGAUCUCACUUUGGUCUGAGCGCUGUUCUUGGAUAAGUUGGUUCACUUGCAGGCGAGCCCUCUCAAGCUCAGCAUGUAAGGCUGAGACAAGAGACAUGCUCGAAGAAGGCCGAUCUUCUUGACCCCACAUGCGAUUAAUGAUCUUGAGAAGCUCUUUAGAUGUAGUCAAUGCAUUACUAACAUCCUUCAAACGAGUCUUAACUCCGACAGUUGAUCCACUAGGAGUCUGUGCUCGGGAUCUGGUCUCUACCUGCUUCAUAAAAUGAGGAGUUGAAUAACACUUCUCAAAAUCCUUAACUUUCUGACACAAGGUACAUGACAUCUGAAAAUCUUUCCAACUUUGGAUUUGGAAUUAUUAACACUUGAGCAUCUCAGUGUGAUACCUAAACAAAUUUAUACAUACAAACUGACCGAACAUCCAUGAAAAUGUGUGUGUGAGUGCGUUGCUGCUGAUGCAUAUGCAUCCAGCGUCAAUGUUUGUGUGUCCAACAGAGAUUAAACAUGCUCUGGAUGAACUAGAAAACGCAAAAAUCACUUUUAAUUUUUAAAGAGUACAAGUGCCCAAAUAUUAAACUUAAGUGGGUGUACCUCCAUUAAGCUAGCAUUACUAACAGAAUCCAAAACUCCCCCAUUGCUUUCUGUUAGCCUAAGCCUCUGAGAAAUGGAUGAUGAUCUUCUAUGGUGACUCCCUGUGCCUGAUCGAUCCAUCCUCUGGAAAUCAAUAAAUUUAAUAAUGAAAUGACCUGUUAUGCUGCAUCAACAUCUAAUUGACAAUAAAGCAUAUCAAACAGAAGUAUGAUUCUGCUGCAUCUGGUUGAAUGCUACCUACCAGCCCUGGCAAUCCUAUCCCCAACAAUUUGAUUGAUUUCCAAUGGGGAUCAAUUCUUUAAUAUUUAACUAAGACAAAUUGAAGCAAGAUUUCAAAUUUCUAUUUAUGUGAUCAUGUUAAAUGACACUUAUUGCACUCUUCUAAGUUCUAAAGGAUCACCGUUAUCGCCUGAUUACUAACAGAAUAUGGACAAAUUAGAACAUAUAUGGAUCCAAAAAAAUUAAAGCAAAACGAAGACAUAACUCCAGCAUCAUAUGCCAAAGCGCUAAAAAUACCUCUAUGUCAACGUCAACAAUCAGACAACAAACCUGAAUUUAAAAAUAAAACCGUUCCUCUUACCUUCAACACGACCGAACCUACCGCAAAAUAAUUAAAAAAAAAAAAAAACACAACAUCACAAGCCAUUGAAACAGAAGGAAAAUCAACAUGUAACAAAAGUUUCAAUUUCAUUAUGCAUACCCCCACAAAUUCCAAAAAAUAAAAUAAAAAAAUCUCAAACAUAUGCAAAAUUAAACUCACCUCAGAAACGGGGCUGUGAGAUGGAUCAGACAAAUGGGGAGGCAAAGAACCCGAAUGAAGGGACCGGGUGACCCGUUCCCUUUCUCUUUCUCUAGCUCUAGCUUCUCUCCUAAUCCUCCUCUCAUCAUACCCACCACCACCACCACUAGUCUCUCUCAGCUUCGGCGAGGGCAUCUCGUUCAUCUCCCACAGCGUCGCGGCCAGCUUCCUGGCGGAAACUGGCUGCUGAGAGUGCUGAUGCUGUUGCUGUAGCUGUAGCUGGUGUUGUUUCGCUUUAUUGACGAACCCACCAUACUCACUCUGGGAGUCGAUCGCACGCAAUACCGAAGACGGAGUAGUCCGCAUCAGCCUCCAUGUGGGCACCGGCGUAGCGGAUCCUCCCCCACCCCCUCUCUUGCCUAUUAGAAUUGCUCUUUUGAAUCUGUAGUUCUGAACGAUCGAUGAUGUUGACGAAGCUGACGAUGAACACCCACGUUUCCUUAUCUUUCCCGGGAAAAAAUUCUGGGUCUGAUUCUGCUGCCUUGACAUUGUUUCAUUCAACUAUUAUUUUCUAGAUCUGACCAAAAAAAAAAAAAACAGAAAUGCAGUUUAAAAAAGAAGAAGAUGCAUUUAUAAUGUGCAAGUUUGUUAUUUUUUAAAAAAAGGGAAGGAAAUUGAAAGUAGAAUAAUAAAUGCUAACUGAAUGCAGAGAGACAGAGAGAGUACCAUUAGGUGAUGUAACGAAGAGGAAAUUGAGGGAAUCAAAUCAUGAAAAGGGGGAGGCUUCGAUGGCUUCCGCUGCUUAACAGACUGUACACUUGAACGCUUGCGUUGUGCGUAAAAAGAGAGUAAAGCGGGACACAGAGAGAGCGAGGCGGUAGCAGUAAUCAGAAACGCUGCUGUGGUUUUGGAUGGGAUUAGCACGUGGCGCUACGGGACUGGCUGUUGUAGGGGGAAUUAAUUGAUUGUUAAAUUAAAAGUGACUAAUGCGAUAUCAUAUUUUUGUUGGAGCAAGUAACAUGAGAUGAGUGAGCAUGUGAUUUGUGAUUAUAAUGGCAGUGAAAUUUGUGGGAUUUUGGGGUUGGGCCACUUGGAUUUUACUAGAUUACCGCAUUUUCAAGCAAAGCAAUUGCGGCCUGAAAAUCCAGUCAAAUAGCAUUAAUCAUUUUAUCGAAGAGUAAUGUUACACUUGCGUGUACACUUAUAGGAGCUGUUUCGUGCCAAUUAAAUACUUUAGGAUAAAAUAAUACUAAUCUUUGUAUUUGAUGGUAAAAAUAAGAUUAACAUAAGUAAUUAUAAGCUCAUCAAUUAGUGAAGUGAAUAGUUAAAAAAAAGUAUACAUAUAUUCUAAAGGGACCCUUGGGAUAAGAGUGGUAAGACCAAAAUAUUUAUCUUAGUAUAGGGAGUUGGAAAAACGUGCUAAGGCUAAAAAUUAAGGGAAUGUUUUUUUUUUUUUUCAAUGUUUAGACUUACCGAACGAAUGGAUUUAAUGUAGAUUAUAUUUUAUAUUACUUCAUAAUUUUUUUAAUUUUUAACCAUGUUUGAUUUAAUCUAGGUUAUAUUUUAUGUUAUUUUAUAAUUUUUAUUUUUGGCUAUGUUCAGCCUUUGAUACGAAAUUCACAUGGCAUUGAUUUGUAUCAUUUCCUUUUUAUUUUACAAGUUACUCAUUAAGGAAAAAAUUAGUUUUUAAUAAGUCAACUAAUCAAAGUGACGUAAAUAUAGUAAACUAUUAUUUAAAAACAUUAAUGUAAUAAAAUAUUACUUUACAAUAAUUCAUGUAAUGAUAUGUUAUUUUGUGAUACUUGUCAUAAUAAAAUGAUAAUAAUCCUAAGAUUUAAUUAUAAAUUUGGGUUUUAUUUGAUGAAAAUAUAAUUUUAUCCAUGUGAUGUCAGUGCGAUAUCAUCAUUAGACUAACAGCACCAACGAAAAAGUAGUAAAAUGUUAUUUAAAAAAAUUAAUAUAAUUAAAUGUUACCUCUCAAUAAUUCGAGUAGUGGUUUCUUAUUUCUCUAUUUCUGUAAUGAAAAGAUAAUAAUAAUAAAAAAUAUAUUAAAGGCAUGUUAAACGAGUAAAAUUUUAGAAAAUAUAUUAGAAGUUUAAUUAACCAAUUAUGACACAUUUGAUAAUCUAAUCAAAUUAAUAUUUGAGAUUUUUAACAUCAUUAAUAAACAAUCAAUUAUAAAUCAAUUCCAACCCGACAAAGACUCGAUACCAACAUAACACACUAAAACAAAUGAAAUCAUUAUCCCUACAUGUGACCACAUGCAUGCAUGAUCAAAUUUCGACGGAGCCAAAGUUGUCACUCAAAAGUUAGAACUUAUCCGAACCUUUACGGGAACUGCUCUAAGCCACAGUAUCGUCAAAUAUCCAGGGAAUAAUUCAAGCAUAAGAACUGAAUAAAAACAAAAACAAAACAAAAAAAAUCCUGCUCGCGAUAUUAUCGAAAUUGCUAUUGUGCAUUAAAAAUAUCCUAAAAUUGCACGUAUCCGUCGCAUCAAUUGUCCACAUUUCACUUGUUCCUAGUCCAACUUACAGCUAGAUAUAGUCAAUGAUCCGAAAAAAGGUAUCUCCAUUAAUUCUCUCACAUACUGAACUGUUUCUCCAAGGGCUCAAGAGUUAUAGAACCCAGAAAAAAGAGCAAAAAAAGAAAAAUCAACAAUGGCGACUCGGUUCAUCUUUCUCUCAUUUUGUCUCCUAUUUUCUUCAACUUUGACCAUCUCAAAUGCCAAAAUUUUCCCAACAUUUCCUUCUUCAAGAAUCACCCCAGAGAAACUCUCAUCUCUUAUUUCAAAUUCCAAAGAUAGCCAGGGCUUGUACAAAACAAAGUAUCACACUCAGAUUCUCGAUCACUUCAAUUACAAUCCUCAGAGCUAUCAGACUUUCCAACAAAGAUACUUAAUCAAUGAUACUCACUGGGGUGGCUCCAAAAAUAAUGCUCCAAUUUUUGUUUACACUGGAAACGAAGGUGAUAUCGAAUGGUUUGCUCAAAACACUGGGUUCAUGUAUGAUGUGGCUCCAAAGUUCAAGGCCCUUCUUGUUUUCAUUGAGGUAAAUGAUCAAAGAAAAAUCCUCUUGCUAUUUUCCUUUUAUUUUCUCGGUAAACAAACAGAAACUGAUUGUGAAAUAUGCUAAUUGCAGCAUAGGUAUUAUGGGAAGUCCAUUCCAUAUGGAGGUUACAAAGAGAUUGCUUAUAAAAAUGCAAGCACAACUGGAUAUUUGAGCUCAACCCAAGCAUUGGCUGAUUAUGCUUCUUUGAUCAUUGAUCUCAAGAAGAAUUUGACUGCAACCGAUUCCCCAGUUGUUGUUUUUGGAGGUUCCUAUGGAGGAAGUAUGAUAAAAUAAUUAAUUUAUUCUUUAUUUCUUAGUUGUCUUUUCUAUUAUUUUCUCUUCAUUGAUAUCAUCACCAAUUCACCACGUUAUAUUAAAAUUCUCACCACCUGUGAAAGUUAAACACAUUUAAAGAUGUAGGUUUCAACUAGAUAACAAUGUUUCCUUUACAAAUUUUAGCUAUAAUUUAAUAUUGUGCACAUUAUAGUCGCUCACUAUUGUCUGGUACGAAAGUUAUAUUUUUAAAGAUGCAAAUGUCCGUAUUAAAAAAAUAACUUUAAUUUUAUCUUUAUCAUAUUUGUAUAUAAAUUAAACAACAUAAAAUAUACGCGAUAAAGAAAUUUAAUUAAGUUUUUGAUUGGGAUUGAUUAACAACGAAGUUUAUUUGUUUUUGCAGUGCUGGCAGCUUGGUUUAGGUUAAAAUACCCACAUGUCGCCAUUGGAGCCUUGGCAUCUUCUGCUCCAAUCCUCAAUUUCGACAAUAUAGUAUCUCCAUAUAGCUUUAGUAACAUUAUAACUCAAGACUUCAGGGUAUAUCUUUCUUUCUCUUUCAUCAAUACCAAUGCUUUACUUCCUUAGCUGUUCUAUAUAUACACACACAAUUAUUUAUUAUAUAACAUGAAUAGGACCAUAUUGAGCCUCAUGCAAUUAAUUAACCCAUAUGCAUGCAGCUGCCGGCACUAAAUUCCCAAAACAAUAAUAUUAAGUAACUUAUUAAACAAUGAAUGGUACUGUUGUCAGAAGCAAAUAACUCUAAAUUAGCAAUCUGAUUUUUUUAAUUAACUUUUGUUCUUGGGAAAAAUCAGAGUGUGAGCGAGAAUUGUUACAAAGUGAUCAAAGGGUCCUGGAAACAGAUUGAAGAGACUGCGAAAAAACCCGGGGGUCUUGAAAAACUCCAGAAAGCAUUUAGAAUAUGCAAGUAAGCUCUUGAGUACUCACUUGUUAAUAUAUCUCAAACACAAAUUUGAAGUAAUUAAUUUAAUUGUUUGUUUUAAUACCCUUUUUUUUGGUAUAAGUUUUUUUGUUAAUUAAUUUGGUUGUUGCAGAUCAGAGAAAAAUUUGGCCAUCGAAAGCUGGCUUUCAACGGCCUUCGUGUAUACGGCCAUGACGGAUUAUCCAACUCCUUCAAAUUUUCUGAAUCCCUUGCCAGCUUUUCCUGUCAAAGAGGUGCUCGCCUUGCAUAAUGCAUGCUCUUUUAAUGUCAUUUUAUUGAUUAAAUUUUUUGAUUAAUUGCAUUGGCCAAUCAAUGGCCACAGCAUAACAAUUGCAAGCGCAGGGGUAUAAUAGUAAAUUUAUUAAGUUAAUGAUGGCGUGGAUUUGGUUGACCGCAGAUGUGCAAAGCGAUUGACGAUCCAAAGACUGGAAAUGACGUGUUCGCGAAGUUGUACGGUGCCGCUAGCGUCUACUAUAACUACAGUGGAACUGCCAAGUGUUUCGAUCUAAACGGUGAUUCUGAUCCUCACGGCCUCAGCGAAUGGGGUUGGCAGGUUAGUGUUAUUUGAGUUUAUAUAAUAUUAUAUGUCCCUAUUUAUUAAAUCGCUAGUUAUCAUUAAUUUUAUCAAUUCAUUAUCAACCGCCAAGAGUAAUAGAUUUCUACAACCUAACAUUUGUCAUUAACCCACUUCCUAGAUAAUAAGUUUUUUCUUUAAUCUAAAUAAGAAGGCAUUUAUCCAUCAAAAGAUCUUUUUUUUUUUUUUUUUAAUUCUCCUAUCUAUUCUUAUCUAUUAAUAUGAGAAAGAUCAAAGUCCUUAUUACUUUACAUAUUAAUAAGCUAAUAACUAAAGGCUAAAUACUAACUUUCCAUUGAUGAUGCGAUUUUAAUUUGUGGCCCUCAAACUUUUAGGACGUUGAUUCUCUGAUUUAACUAAAGAACCUCCCACUAGACAUUAGUUGUUGGAAAGAAUAAAAUUGUAAUAAUAUUAUAAUAAUAUCUCUAACUUUUUUUUUUUUUAUUACAUGAGACUAUUGCUCAGAUUACAACUCAUAUACAUGAGACUAUUACUGAUAUUUACAAAUCAAACUAUUACUGGGACCAACUGACAUCAAUACUAAUGGAGCUCUGCCCAGAUUUUAACCCUCACAAAUAUUCGAGGGAUGUCUACUCCUCACUCAUGGGUAAGGGAGAAGACUACCUUCACUCAAAUUAAUUGAAGAAGGAAAUACCCCCACAAUGCUUUUGUGGGGGUUCGAACCGCUGCCCUCCAAGUUGAAGGGCAGCAGCCCUGGCCACUCGAGCUACUGCCCGA
This 45808-nucleotide long non-coding RNA is filed under the name Citrus x clementina. RNAcentral's name for it is "Citrus clementina (C. clementina) long non-coding RNA (CCLE_LNC002051)". The record is from RNAcentral. Lineage: Eukaryota; Viridiplantae; Streptophyta; Magnoliopsida; Sapindales; Rutaceae.